Molecule: long non-coding RNA, 58352 nt
Filed under: Gossypium barbadense (sea-island cotton)
Lineage: Eukaryota; Viridiplantae; Streptophyta; Magnoliopsida; Malvales; Malvaceae
Description: long non-coding RNA (GBAR_LNC017491)
Rfam family: MIR7502 microRNA precursor family (bases 42124-42250)
Source: RNAcentral
GUAAUUUAAUAAAUAAACUUAAAACAAAAGAAAAUAAAAAGCAUGUGUCUUCUUCAUUUCUAUCUUCAUCACCGAACAGGAAAUGGAAAACUUCAUUGUUGGCUUCAUAAGCUUCAGCCAAGCCUGAUUCUUCAUGCAUGGUUAGUGUUUUUUAUACCAUUUUUAAUAAAUUUUAUGUUUUUUAGCUCAUAUUAGCUUAAUCUAGUUAGCCCAGGGGUUAAAUUGUAAAAUUGAUAGAUGUUUAGGGAUUUUCCAUGAACGAGUUGCAUGUGUCUAUGAAUUUAAUUGAUAAAUUACUAAGCUUGGUUGUUAAAUAGAAGUAUUUUAUUAAGUGUUUUUUAGUAAUUUUAAUGUUAAAAGGAUUAAUUUGUUAAAAGAGUAAAAUUCAUGGGAUUUAAUGUGAAAUUUUUUACGAGUAUAGGUUGUUUAUGAAUUCUAUAAAAAUCGGCUAACAUGAAUUUUGGCUGAAAAUGGUAAAUUUACAAGUUUCAGGAUUAGGGACUAAAUUGCAAAAAAGGUAAACUUUGAGGGUAAUUUUGUAAAUUUUCAUUUAUAGGGGUUAUAAGCAAAAUUAAUUAUUUUAAAUUCUGGAACGAGAAUAAUUGAAUAAAAAUAUUUAUCUAGAUCAAGAACAACUCGAACAGACACAAAUCGUGGAAAAGUCAAAGUAGCGGAAUAGUGGUUGGUUCGUGUUAAGAAGUCAUUUAUGAGUUCAAGUAAGUUAGUAACUUAGUUAAUUCAAUUAGUUACUGUUUCGAUAAUUUUAAUAUCUAUUUGUGUAUAUAUGUGAAUCAAAUUUGUUGGUUUGAAGGAAUUGAUUAACACCAUAGUUGAAACACACUAUGGCAUUAUACCGGAAUUAAAUAAUACCAUAGUUGAAAGAAACUAUGGCAUCAUACCGAAAACGAGUAAGACCAUGGCUGAAAGAUGUUAUGGCAUCCCGAUUUUAACGAGUAAAACCAUAGUUGAAAGACGUUAUGGCAUCACAAUUCUAACAAGUAAGACCAUAGCUAAAAGACACAAUGGCAUCAUGAACCAGACGGAUAAGACCACGGUUGAAAGACAUUAUGACAACACGACAUAAAAUGAAUAAGACCAUGGUUGAAAGACACCAUGGCAUUCUUCAACCAUUCACUAUUCAGGUAACAUGUUUCGGUUGAGAUAUCUAUUAUUAGUAUGAAUAUGAGAUGAAUGUUUUGACUAGUAUAGUUUAUUAAUGAAUAUUUACACUUUGGUGUGACUAUGUGUUUCAUAUGUUUAUAAAUAUGUUAAUUAGUGAUGUUUGUGGUGUGUUUAGGGAAUUAAAUGGUUACAUGAGUGUUUUCUGAGUAGUCGGUGUUAUUCCAUUUGGUUUAACGAGUAAAUAAAGCUUAAAUGAGUAUAUGAAUAUAUGAAACGAAUCAUGAUUUUGGAUAAUAAAAUGGAUUAUAAUGAUAUGUGUAAUUGCAAGGAAAAUAUGGUUUAUUGUACAUGUAUAAGUGAUGAUUUAUGAAAAGGAGAUGUCGACAUGUUAUAUAACAUGUUUUGUUGGAAUUAUAUGUACAUUGCUCCAGCAACUAAUCAUGUGAGGUGUUGUGUAUAGGAAAGGAAAUUGGGAUUGUGACUAAACUAAAUUAUGCUUGAUUGUCUAAUUUAAUGUAUUCGGUAAGUUUAAGUUUCCUUUAUAUAAGCUUACUAAGCACUAGUUACUUACGUAGUUGUUUUUCUAUAUUUUAUAGAUAAUCGAAAAGCUCGAACGAUUGGAAUCAGCGUUGGAGCACAAUCACACUAUCCAUUGAUCCACUUUGGUAGCUUUUGGAUAUAUUGGCUAAUGGCUAUAAAUAGCAUGUGUAGGGUUGUAUGUUAAUUUGAUAUGUUUUGAAUUGUGCUAAGCUUUGAUAUGCCUCAAUAUCUUUUGUUAAUGGUUGUGCAUGGUCAUUUGAAAUUAGGGGAAAAAAUGGUUAAUUGAUAUAAAUGCUUUGGUAAGUAUAGGGCUUGUUUGUUACCUUGGUCAAUUGGUAAUGUUUUGAGUUGUGUCAAACUUAGGCAUGCUUAAUGCCUUUUGUUUUUAACUUGUAAAUGUCUAUAGCAUAAGUGUAUUAGGGUUUGAUGUUAAUGUGUUAUUUGGAAUGUAUUGAUUUUGCUUAUACCCAUUUAUAGAUAUAAAUGGUUUGGUUUGGUUUAUUUAUCCUUAAACACUUUGGAGCAUGUUCCUUUUUAGUUAUAUCUAAGUAAAUUGGUAAGUUGAUGGUGUAGCCUAAAGAGAAGUGGUCAUUUUGUGUCUAUAUUAUAAAGUUGAAAUGUGAUAUUGAAUCUUUGUUCAUGUGUGAUAUUGUUGACUGAAAUGUGAUACCUUUGACUAGCAUAUUGGCUAGGACAUAUAGGAUGGUUGAUUAAUUGACAUGUUUUAUAUGUGUUUAAGUUGUAAUUAGGUCAUAUGAAUGGGUGAUAGAAAGGUAUGUCUUGGUGUGCAAGCAUAGGUCUUGAAAUGGCUUGUUUUAAGGGCUAAAAUUGGAGCACAUGGCCUAGGACACGGGUUGUUACACGGCCGUGUGCUACACACAACUGCCCUACACGGUCAUGUGUUAUUUUAUUUUCAAGUGCAGGAUACACACAGUCUGGCACAUGGCUUACGACACGGUCGUGUGUCCUAUAAUUUGAAUGCCCACACGGCCUGGGCUAUGUCACACGGCCUAACUACACGGCCGUGUGACCCCUGUUUUACAAAUUUUCAAGCUUGGCCUAAAUUUUUUAUUUGCUUCGAAUAAGUCCCUAAUUACUUUCAAACUGUUUUAAAGGCCCUUUAGACUUAAUUUAAGGCCGUAAAAAGUAUUUUUGCUAUAAUUAAAUUAUUUUAUCAAAUGUUAAUAUAAAAAUUGCAUGUUGAUUUCUGUUUCGAUGUUAAAUGUUUUGAAUUGUAUAGUAAUACUUUGUAACCCUAAUUCGGUAACGAAGACAUGUUAAUAUAUUUUAUAUAAAUUAUUGAACUAUUGAUUUUAAAGUUUAUGAUUUAACAUAAAUGUUCAACAAUGUUAACCAAUAAGACUAACUUUUCAGUUUUCAACAAAUACGAGGAUUACCUCAGAAAUUAAAGUACAAAAUGCUCGACUUAUCAAAAUUCGUAAAGUAAAAAGAUGAAAUCCGUAAUAAGAUAUAAAUAAAAUUUAUAAACUAUAGAUUAUUAAAUAUAAAAAUUAAUAUAUAUAUAUUUAAAAAUAACACAAUUCUUACCUUAGCAACCUAAUUCGCUUUAUGGGGGAGGGGUAUCCAUAAAAUUUUUUCAUUUAUUAUGUUGUUAUAUUUAAUGAGUUUGAAUAUCCACGAAUAAUUUCAUAAAAACCAGGUAGGUGGGAUUGUGAGGGAAUUAUACUAAAUAUAAUAUAAAUGAAAUGGUUUAAUUUUGAAUUUCAUCCUUUACUUUAUGAAAAAUAGAGAUUAGUCAUUUUAUUUUAAUUUAUCAGAAUUUAAUCUUUGCACUCUAAAAACUUAAACAAGAGACGAAUUUAAGAGAGUAGAGAGUGACCUUGACCCUUAUCUAAAAUGGUAAACUUGCUUUUUAAAUCUCUUAAAAACUUAUAAAAUAAAUUAGUAUGAUAGUAAAUUUAUUUUUUGAUCCUUUAAAAUUUUAUAAUUUAAUUUAACCCCUAUUUUGAAUUCGCCUCUGACUUGAACUGCUAGUUUUUGCUGCCAAUUCAUUUCAUAUAAAUUAUUAAACUAUUGAUUUCAAUAAAAUUAACUUUUUAUUUUUCGUAAAAUACAAGGAUUACCUCGCAAAUUGAAAUAAUAAAAAAAUCAAAUUUAUCAAAAUUCGUAAGAUGAAACUGUAAUGAGACAUAAAUAAAAUCGAAAUGAUAUAAAUUAUUAAAUAUAAAAUUAAUAUUUAAACAAUAAUAACAAUAAUAACACGAUUCUUACCAUAGCAACCUAAUUCUUUUGUGCGUGGUUGGCAAAUGGCAAUGGCAUGCUUUGGCUUACGUUUCUCUUAAAAGAGGAAUUAGGAUUUUGUUACUAUCAAACAAUUGAGGCACGAAUAGUGCCUUAACCAACUUCCUAAUAAUAUUGGUUUAAUUGCACCCCUGGUCCCUAUACCAUUUGACUUUUACUUUUUAAAAAAAUUUAGGAUUAGUCAAUAUGUUUGCCCACAAUUAAAAAUUCAAUUCAAUUACUAACAAUAUUAAUGAAAUUUCGUUAAAUUUGAUCAUGUGAUGUUUUAAUAUUUAAAUGUCUAAUUUAAAAAUCAAAAUUCAAUCGAUAAUAUAUAUUUAAAUUUAACAAAAAUCAAUUAACAUCGUUAUCAUCGGACUUCAAUUUUUGAAUCAUAUGAAUAAAAAAGAUAAAUUAUUCUAAUUAAAAGUAAAACUAUUAAUUGGAUUUUAUCUUCUUUUUAAUUUCAAUAAUUUAGUCAAUUUAUUUGUUUAUUUGAAUAAAUGACAUUUUAAUAUGCAAAGGUCUGAUAUCAAAAUCAAAAUCAAAUGGUAAAAACACCUCUCUCGUGCCUCUCAAUCUCAAAAUUGAGCAAAUCGAUCCCUCUAAAAAAAUUAGAGUAAUUUAAUCCCUGUCAAUCUUGAAAGUGAGCAACUAAAGAUAAUUAAUCACAACGCCAAUGUUUAUAUAUUCAGUAUAAAUAUUGUGGGCUACAUUUGUUGACAAAAUGUGUAAAUGUUGUAGGCUAAAUUUGUUAAAUCAAUAUCAAAUUGACAAAAUAUAAACUUUAAGGGCUAAAUUUGUUAUUAUGUCAAUAAAAAUAUGUAUAAUUGACAAAAAAAACAAUGACAUUGUGAGUAAUUGUCCUUGGUUGCUCACUUUUGAUAUUAAUAUGGAUUAAAUUGCUUUAAUUUUUUUAGAGGGACUCAAUUUACUCAAUAUCAAAAUUGAGAAGGACCAAAGAGGUAUUUUUACCAAAAUAAAAAUGAUAACACAUAUUCAAAUUUAACAAAGUUGUCAAUUGGAAUUUAAUUUUUAAAUCAUACAAACAGAUGGACUAAAUUCUUUGAAUUAAAAGUAGAAAGAUGAAAUUUUAAAAGUUCAAAAAGUACAAGGACAAAAAAUAUAAUCAAACCAAUAAUAACUAAUGCAUGAAAUCCUUUUUGCAUGUGAGGACUCUUCAUUGGAUGAGCUGGGUUUGGAAAAUGACUAGCAUUUAGCCUAAAGCCCCUUAGGCACAACCCUUUCGGCAUAUGAUACCAAAACAAUAAACAAAGUUCAAAUUAUUUUUUGCCAUGUUCCUUUCUUAUUGAUUAAUUAAUUCCAUUACCUUUUUUCGAAGCUUUUGACGUUGAUAUUUAAAGAAAAAAAAGAAACACACUAUGGGUUUUUUAUAAAUGUAUUAUAAAAUUAAAAAAAAUUGGAGUUUAAUUUUAGGUUAAAUUCUGUUAUUAGUUCAUGUAUUUUGCGAAAAAUAUUGAUUUAGUCUCUAUACUUUAAUUUGGUUAUUUUUACUAAUUUCAAAAUAUGACGCGGCAAAUAUAUUGUCAUAUUUGUAAUGUCAUGUUAGAUUAUUAUUUUUACAUAUUACUCACUAAAAAUCUUGUUAAUAGAUUAAUGACUAUUAUUUGUGUCAAGGCAGAAUUUUCAAAAUUUAAAAAGUAUGGAGUUUUAGAAUAAUUCAAAUGGAGAAUACAAACUAAUUCUACAAUUGUAUGCAUAGUACAAGACUAGUAACUGAUUUAACAAAACAUAUUUAACUACUACUGUUAGGGUCAAAGCUAAAACUGACCAAUUCAAAAAUUAUAUGGACUAAAAUUGAUUAAUUCAAAUAGUACAAGGACUCAAAUUAAUUAAAUUAAUAUAUAGAAAUUAAAUUCACAACGUUCCCAAUGUAUAAGGACAGAUAGUAGGAUAUAACCUUAAUUUUAUUUUAUUUUUUCUUAAAAUUAUAUGAUAUAAUGAGAAGUUUCAACUCAAUAUAUUUAUAUUAAAAUUAACAUUGGAGUAAGAUCCUUUUAUGCUAAUACGAAAAUACUUACAUAAUUUUUUUACUAUUAAUAAAAUAAUAAAACUGUAUAAAUUUAUUAAUAUAAUUUUAUUUUUCAUAUAUAAAAUUUUAAAUUGAUAUAAUGUUAAUGUAAAAUAUUGUUUACAUUAAUAUAUAUUUAAUUGAUGAAUUUUUUACAUAAAAUAAGUAAAAUUUUAAUUUACACAUGAAAGAUGUACAUGAAUACAACAUAAAAAUUAAAAUAUGAUGGAUGGAUAGAUUUUUAAAAUAUUAAUUAUACAAAAACCAUUUAAAAAUAAUAUUUAUUUAUUUAUUUAUAAAAAGAAUAUUUAAUUAAAUGCAUGUUUUUGUUAAAAGUGACCUCUUUGUAGUUUAACCUAAACCAUUGAAUAAAAUAUAAAAUUGAGUGAGUCUUGUGUCUUGAUCUAAUAGUUAGGGUAUUUAUUAUUACAAGUGUGGUCUGAAUUUGAGUCGUGAUAAUUGUGUUGCUGUCAGGAUUUUGUCUUCCUCCUGCAAUUCACCAAUAUAUAUAUAAAUAUAUAAUUAAGUAAAAUUAAAUGCAAUAAACAUUUUAAACUAAUACCACGUAUUUAAUUAUGUUGACAUAAUUUUUUUCUAUUAUUACAAAAAUAUCAUUUUGCUCGCUUUUUGAUAUACAAAGACCUUUUCACUUCCUUGUUUGACUAUUUCACCCUUUAAUCAUUAAAAUGAUUUACUAUUGUAAGUUAGCUUUUGAAAAAUCAAAUUUAAUUUUUAGUUUUAUUUUUACAUGGUAUAAAAUAAAAUUCCAAAAUAAAUAAAUAAGCAAAAGAAACCUUAUGGAAGAAAACAAUACAAGAACUCCUUGUCUCGAGGCAACCAAACAUCAAAGCUAAAAUAAGGAAAUAGGGGAGGCCUGUCUCGAGACCUAGUCUAGAGACUUAAAGAACCUUGUCUCGAGACAUGUAUUCUAAUAUCUCGAGACAUGCUAACAUCGAAGUAAAAAUUUUGAAAAAUAAAAUAUGGCCCAUCUCAAAUCUUGGAGAUCCUUGUCUCGAGACAUAAUGUUAAAACUUGAAAAUUGAAUUUGAAUUUGAAUCCUAACUCUCAAAUUGACUUAACAUAAUGUACGGAUUAAAUUAUUAAGCACUAUAAAUGUAAAUUUUUGAGUAAAAUGGAUGAUUGAAUUGAUAUGAAUGAUGUUUGUGCAUUGAAUGAUAUGAGUAAAAGUAGGUUAAUCAGAGUUACUUCAACAAUGUAAUGUGACAUCAUACAUUCGAAUCCGGUAAUCUUAGAUACCAAUCUAAUUAAUCUACCUUUUUUGGCAUUUAAUAUGUAUUUUUAUUUUUAUUUUUUAGAUUGAAUGAAUGAAAAAGCGACCACGUAAUCCAAACCAAUUUAAUUUGACCGAACAUAAUUAAUUCUGAAAAUAACAAAAAUAAUGUAAGAAAAACAUGUUAGUGGCACAGAUUCAUUUUCUGGGUCCAGGUUUUGUCUUGGGGUCAUAAGAUUUUGAGAUAACGAGGGACCACUUUUGAAAUAAAAAUGGAAUUGUGGUUAUAAAUUUGUAAUUAUCCAAACGUAAGGGGUGGCCUUCCGCCAUUCCAUUUGCUUAUUGUGGUUGAAUUAUGAUUUUCGUCCCUUUAUUAUGUUAAAUUGAUAGAUUUAAUCACUUUUAUUUUAAUUUGACAUAAUUUGAUCCCUCAAAUUUUAAAAUGUUGUUAGUAGGUACAAACUGAUAAAACUGUUAAAGUGAUGAUGUGUAUUUAUUAAAUUAUGUAAAAUUAGACUUGUUUGAGGGCCGAGCUACUUAUUUUAGCUCAAAGGUCUACCGAAAUUUGGAAGAGUUUAGACAAAAAAUAUUAAACUUGAAAAACAAACUUGGGCAAAAACUUUUAAUUUGUUUAAAUACGGAUUAGGCUCGGACUUCAAUAUUCAAAGCUCGAGUUCAAUAAUAUGUAAUUUAUAUCAUAUGAAGAUGAAAUAUAAUUAUUAAAAUGUAAAUAUUAAAAAAACAUAUGUAAAAUUGUUUGAGUUUAGAAAUUUAAUAAAAGAGCCUUUCAAAAAAUAAAAAAUAAAAAAAUGGUACUAAAAGAAUACAAUUGCUUAACAUUAAAUAUAAUAUAAUAUUUUAAAAAAUAAUAAAAAUAUGGACGGAUUUAAACGAGACGGAGUUAACUAGUUACAAAAUUGAUGAUAUAACUUUUUAAUUCAACAAAUGAUAUUAAUCAAUAUUUAUGUAUCAUUAGUUGAUGUUUAAAAAAAUUAAUACUUAAUAUACUAAUACAAUAAUUUUUUAAUUCCACAAAUAUAUUAAAAAAUUAUCAUUAAUAAAUAAUAAAUGAAUAAUGAGUUCGGAGAACUUUUCUUUUUUCUUUUUAAUGGGUAAUUUGUUUGUAUUUUUUUUUUUUGGUUAGGUGAAAUUGUUUGUAUUUUAACGACUUCUCAUAAUCUACGAAAAGAAAAGAGUCUCAAAUUAUAAGAGUUUCAUAGUGGAACUCGUUUGGUCACCGUCAUGAAAAUGGUGGGUCUUUUUCUAACAUGAUAUGUUCUCGUAAUUCGUUUUUGUUGCAUCCACAAUUUUAAUAUUUUUUAAGUUUAAAUUUAUAAUUUGAUAAGUAAGAUUUUGAUUUGAAUUUUAUAAAUAUAAAAGUAGUGUUAAUUAUAAAUCGUUUAUGGUUUUAAUAUUGAUUAAGUUUAUUUAUUUUAAAUUUUCGUAUUUAAAUUUUAAUAUAUAUAUGUAAUUAUGAUAUAAUGUUAAAUUUAGUUAUUAAUGUAUGCAUCCUUUAUCAAUGUGACCCUUAUUUUUUUCCUGAACUAAAUGUGGGUUUUACGCUUGAAAAAAGUCGAAUUUGACCAUUAAUAGUUGAGUUGCUUUUUUUUAAUAUUCAUUAAAAAUUUUAUAUUUUAAUUAGUCUUUCAUUUUAAAAAAUAAAUUUAUCUUUUUUAGAAAAAGUUAUUUUAAAAAAAUUAAUGAUCAAAUUUAAUUUAAAAAAUAAAAAUUAAAUUAACAAAAAAAGAUAAAUAUUAAAGAUAAUUUUAAUGUUUUCCUUAAAAGUAUAUUAAAAUAAAAAGCUAAAUUAAGUUUGAUAGUUAAUCUAGUAAUGGUUAAAUUAUGAUUUUAACCCAUUUAUUAUUCUUAAUUUAUUUUUAAAAAAAUAUUUAUCGAAACUAAAAAUAAUUAAUAAAAUAGGUCAAACGAACAAUUUAUUUAUCCAAAUAGGUCGAAAGGGAGGCCAGCAGCUGACGACUUUCUCUCAAGUAAUUGUUCCAAUCAAACAUGGAAUAAUGUUGUAAAUGGGUCCCUGAACUUUAUUGAAUUUUUGAUAUGGUCUAAUUACUUUAAAAUUAUAUUUGAAAAUAGUAUUUCACUUUUUUUAAAAAAUUAGAAUAAGAGAUUAUUUGAAAAUAUCAAAUUGAUAUAAAUAUUUUUAUUUUAGUUAUUUUUUUUAAAAGUGUGGUUAAGCACAUAAUACAAUGUUUUUGAAAUAAGACAGAUAGUUAGAUUGGUCAAACUAUUGAUUUUCAACCGGAUUGAUUCGAUCAUGUAGUUGGUUAGUUCGGUUCAAUUGAUCUAUAUUGAUUCGUGAAUCAAUUAGUUCAAUCUCUUUCUCUAAAUCGAUGUACCGACCAGAUUUUAAAAAUAAAAAUUUUUGACUUAGUAUUGACUACCAUCUGGUCAAUAUUGAAAUUUUUAAAAUUUGAAAAAUAAAUGAACUAAAAAUGUCCAAAUUAGAGUAUAAAGACUAAAUCAAUAACUUAUGCAUAGUACAGGGACUAAAAACAGAAAUUGACCCACUUUACGGCACAAGACGCUGUUUAAUCUCGCGAUGCUAACGGACGCUUCCCUCGUCUAUGCGACUGCCUUUCGAGUAAUCCACUUAAAAUAAACAGUGACUCUACGGCUCUUCCUUUCUCUAUCUCUGUUCCAUUUGUUUUAUAUUUUUAUAUUUUCCCCAUUUUAAAAUAUUUUUUUAAAAUAAUGUAUUAUUUUAAUAUUGCAGUAAUUAUUUUAGACUGAUUGGCUCAUUGCUUUUCUCUUCAAUUAUUUUAAAAAGAAAUUAUAAGAACGGUUUUCAGAGCAGUAAAUCACAUUUUUUUCUUCUAACAAUUUCAUUUCAGUGACGAAAUUCGAAAAUUCUUUGAACAAGAAAUGUUGAAUUCGUUAAUUUUUUUCUCCAAUUGAUUUAAUUUUUUUUCGAAAUUUUGAAUCCUAUCGCAUUUUUUUUGAAUUUUGUCUCUUUUUCUUUGAAUUUUGAAGGAAGAAAAAUGGAGUUUUAGUUAUCCAAACAGCGAUGAAAUGAAGCAUUUAACGAUUUCGAAGACUAUUAUCGUCUCCAGAUUUUGUUUUUGAUUUUCUUUUUUGUGGAGUGAUGGGCUGCGUAUACUCGAGAGCUUGCAUCGGCGAGAUUUGCGUGCCGAAGGAUGGUAGAGUUAAAGAACCGCAACGCGGGAGGACAAACGCGGCGGAGAUUGCCGUUUUCUCGUCGACAUCUUCAAACGAAGGUGAAGAAACCAGAGACCAAAUCCACUCUCAGUUAAGCUUGAACCUACCUGGUGACCAGGAGCUUGGCAUCACGCGCCUCUCUAGGGUUUCAUCUCAGUUCCUUCCGGCGGACGGUUCUCGAGCGGUUAAAGUUCCGUCAGGGAAUUACGAGCUUAAGUAUUCUUACUUGUCUCAAAGAGGUUAUUAUCCAGAUGCUUUAGAUAAAGCUAAUCAAGAUAGUUUUUGUAUCCACACUCCGUUUGGAACUAAUCCUGAUGAUAAUUUCUUCGGUGUUUUCGACGGCCACGGUGAAUUCGGAGCUGAAUGUUCACAGUUUGUCAAAAGGAAAUUAUGCGAAAAUUUGUUAAGAAGUAAUAAAUUCCACGUGGACGCCAUCGAAGCUUGCCAUGCCGCGUAUUUGACGACGAACACGCAGCUACACGCCGAUAGUUUGGAUGAUAGUAUGAGCGGAACGACGGCCAUAACGGUUUUAGUUCGUGGUCGGAAGAUAUACGUGGCGAAUUCUGGUGAUUCGAGAGCGGUUAUAGCAGAAAAGAGAGGGAAAGAAAUCGUGGCCGUUGAUUUGUCGAUUGAUCAGACACCGUUUCGCGUUGAUGAGCUGGAGAGAGUUAAGCUAUGUGGAGCGAGAGUGCUUACAUUGGAUCAAAUUGAAGGGUUGAAGAAUCCGGAUGUGCAGUGUUGGGGAACGGAGGAAGGCGAUGAUGGUGAUCCUCCGAGGCUUUGGGUGCCGAAUGGGAUGUAUCCUGGAACUGCUUUUACAAGGAGUAUUGGGGACUCGAUUGCUGAGACAAUUGGUGUUGUGGCAAAUCCGGAGAUUGUUAUGCUGGAGCUUACUGAAGAUCAUCCCUUCUUUGUGCUUGCUAGUGACGGGGUCUUUGAGUUCCUUUCUAGUCAAACCGUGGUUGAUAUGGUAAGGGAAUCAUUUGAAUGUGCGGAAUUUUGAUCAUUAGUGAUUAAACUGAAACUUAGUUGUUGUUACCUGUGAUUUAUGAUUAAUUCUAGUCGGUUAGAUUUCUUAAUUUUUGGUCGGGAACUGGGAUGCUAUUAUAGGAGUUUUUAGGAGUCUGCCUUCUUUUGUUAAUGUUGGACUUUGGAUUUGAGGAAUUGGUAUUCAUAUAUUAUGCGAAUUAGAAAAAUGACUAUUGAAGUACAUUCCAUGAAUUUCUGGUUGUAAAAGGUUCUCUAUUUAUUAUAUUCUUAUUUGUUGCUUAUUUAAGUCUUCCUUUGUGUCUAUGAUAAUGGUAUUUUCUUAAUUCUUCUCAUCAUCUUUUUAUUUAGGAUGAUAUAUUUGUUCUUAUUCUUAGAUAUAAAAUUUGAUGCCUAAUUCAUUUCAUUCUUUAUCUGUAAUUGUCCUUUAUAUUUCAGGUUGCAAAACACAAUGAUCCUCGUGAUGCUUGUGCUGCAAUUGUGGCUGAAUCUUAUCGGCUUUGGCUUCAGUAUGAAACCCGAACUGAUGAUAUUACUGUGAUAGUUGUGCAUAUUAAUGGACUAGUUGGGGUAAGUGAGCAAGCUUUUUGCUCCAGAUGUAUUUCUUGUCAGCAUGGCUAAUUGUUUCUCGUUUGUUUCUCUCAGCAGGCUGGUGGUGAAUCGGCUAACCCUGCUUCUAUUUUACGGCCUCCUGUCCCUCAAGUGUCAGAGGCAACAGGAUCAGAAUCUCCUUUGGCCUUUAGCUUGAGCUCUAGGAACCAGCAAGCAAGGCAUGAUUUAUCACGGGCUCGUCUUCGUGCUAUUGAGAGUUCGUUGGAGAAUGGGAAAAUCUGGGUUCCGCCACCUCCAGCUCACAGGAAAACUUGGGAAGAAGAAGUAAGCCUUCUGUUCUAUUCCAUUAGUUUUGGAUGCGUUAAAGGGUUUCCUGACAAAACCAUUCUACUGUCUCGUUUUAUGAUGAUGUGUUACAGGCGCAUAUAGAGCGGGCAUUGCACGACCAUUUCCUCUUCAGAAAACUAACUGAUUCGCAGCGUCAUGUUUUAUUGGAUUGCAUGCAAAGAAUUGAGGUUCAGCCAGGGGAUAAUGUGGUUAAACAGGUUAGUUUUUUAAUUUUCUCUUAUUCUUUUGUUGCUACUAUUUUAUUUAAUUCUGAUGUUGUUCCCUUACUGCAUGAGCAAACAUGUCUUGAAAUCACAUUAUUGCUUCGUUGCUAUCAUGUAAGUUAUGAAUAACCCAAGCGAAGAUGCCACUUUACUAGUGAUCAGUAGGAAGCAAUUGCCAGCAGUAAAUCCAAUGAAUGAGCUGCUGAUAUUAAAACCAUUAGGUGUCAAAGAUCCAAACUUCUCCUGCAUAUAAGCGUGCUUUCUGCCUCUGGUGGCUAGUUUGGUUUGAAAUUGAGGUUCUUUUUGACAAAGCUGAACCCUGGUUCAAUGACCUUGAUUUCUCAUGCAAGGACCUGAGUAGCUAAUAUCUUAAAUACAGGUCAAGAUGAAGUUGUUUGCAUGGUUGCAAUUGAAGUUAGUAUCCUAAUUGUUGUUAUAUUUUGUAGGGUGGUGAAGGUGACUGCUUUUAUGUUGUGGGAAGCGGAGAGUUUGAGGUCUUGGCAACCCAGGUUUGUUUGUUUGCUUUGAUCAUUAUAUAUAUAUAUUAUAUUUGGUAUCUUUCAUGUCUGUUUGCUGUUCAUGUUCGGGGUUCAUGGCUGUCCCUCUCAACAAUGUCGUUUCCGAGGUUCAGACCUGUGUUCUCUUCUUGGCAAUGCAAUUUGCCUUGCCACUACGCCCAACGCUUAUCGGUUGCUUUGAUCGUUAUAUGUAAUGUUGAUUAUAUUACCUGUUAUCUAUGGUUAAACCUAUCAAAGUUCUCAAGGGCCCGAGCUUGUUUUAUGGAAUUUGAACUUAGCCUCAGCUCAAAUAUUUGCAUCCUUAUUGUUGUUCAAAGCUCAAGAUUGUCCUGUUCUAUUUCUCCGUUAUCAAAUUUUCUUUUUUGUUUUUAUUAAUGGGUUCUUAGUUCAUGGAUGAUUGUUUAUUUUUAGUGAGAUUUAAGUUUUCAUAAGAAACUAUUCUUGCAGGAAGAUAAAAAUGGAGCGGUGCCAAGGGUUCUGCAACGGUAUACAGCUGAUAAGUUGUCAUCGUUUGGGGAGCUGGCACUGAUGUAUGUUUUCUUCUCUUCUCCUUUCUCACCUCAUAGUAAAUGAAGAACUCUCUAAUAUAUUUUUUGAAGUUGACAUUGUUUUGCUUAGUAAAAAUUGAAACGCACAUUUAUUUUUAUUUUUAAAAAAGAAAUGCACAUUUGGAAAGCUUAUUGAGAAUUUCUACGGAGUAGCAAACCAAAAUUAGGUUAACAUGUUACCAACAUUUAUUUGGAGUAGUAACAAAGCAAAAAUCCACCGAAUUUUCUUAACACCUACGACCUAUCAAUCACUAUUUUGGUGCAUUUUUAGUUUUCACAUGUGGUGUGUGUGAAACCUGCUGGUUUCUUGAAUUAGGGUUAUUUUACUUUUCUGGCUAAUUGUGUUGUACUACUUACCUUGAUAAUUUGUUUUAUCGGUAUACAGGUACAAUAAGCCUCUCCAAGCCUCUGUGCUUGCUGUGACAAGUGGAACUCUCUGGGCUUUGAAACGAGAAGAUUUUCGUGGAAUUUUGAUGUCUGAAUUUUCUAAUUUGUCAUCCUUGAAGUUGCUCCGUUCCGUCGAUCUUCUAUCAAGGUUAACAAUUUUACAGCUGAGUCAUGUUGCAGAUUCUCUUUUCGAAGUUUCCUUCUCUAAUGGGCAGACCAUAUUUAAUAAGGUAGAAGUUUUCCUUCCAAUGUUAUAUUUCAUUUUCUGUGUAUUAUUUUUGGUUCAUAUUCUUAUUUUGUAUAUUUCUCUUGCAUAUCUGCAGAAUGAAGGCCUCUCAGCAUUGCACAUUAUCCAGAAGGGCCAAGUGAGGAUUACUUUUGACAGGGAUUUGUUAAGCAGCCCAAAUGUCUGCAGUCUCAAGUCUGAUAACCCCAACGAGGAUGAUGAUCAGCAGACGGGGAAAGACCUGUCUGUUGAAAAGACAGAAGGAAGCUAUUUUGGGGAAUGGACGCUUCUUGGUGAGCAGAUGGGUUCUUUAAGUGCAGUUGCAGUGGGUGAUGUCAUGUGUGCUGUUUUGACGAAGGAGAAGUUUGAUUCAGUUGUGGGUCCUUUGACAAAGCUUUCCCAGGAUGAUCAGAAGUAUGUCUUAGUCUAAUGCACUGAAUGCUGCAUCUUUGUUUUCCUCCUUUUUUCUGUUAGAAUGCGUUUCAUUUUAUAUUUCACAUAAACCUUCCAUUUUAGAAUCUGUAAGCUUUUAGAAUUCUCUAACUGAACAACAAUGAACUUUUUAUUCCUUCUCUUCUCAUUUGAAUGUUUAAUACUUUGUUUGAGAAUGAUAUUGUUGUCUUCAUUGCCAUUUAGGAUUAGAGACUAUCCUCUAGAUGCGAUCAAGGAUUCUUCCAAAGAAAUUGAUAUUUCAAGUCUUGCUAAAGUUAGCUUCACUCAGUUGGUAAGAAGUGCUUAGUUCUACCUCUGCCUUGUGGCUAAUGUAGCAAAAUGUGAUCAUCAAGAGAACAAAUCCUAAACUCUGCUAAUGGCAUAUGCAGGAGUGGAGAACAAGUUUAUAUUCCACUGACUGUAGUGAGAUUGGGCUUGUACUUGUAAGAGACUCAGGUUGGUUAUAUCUGUGUAUUUACUUUUCCUCUCAUUUUAAAUUAAAAAAAGACGCCUUUUCUUGUGUAACAAGUUUAGGCUCAACAGUUAACUGACAUGCGAUAUGUAGACUGAUUAUGCAUGCUUAUAUUAACUGACCAAGGCAUGUCAGUUGCAUUAUGGGAGUAUAGGAAAAUAAGCAUGUUAGGUGCUAUCUGCUAUGUUGUGUUUUUAAGGAACUUGUUAUGGAACAACUGAUAAAUAUUUUUUUUUUGUGCGAAAUGGAUUGAUUACCAGAAAAAAUCCUUAGUUUGAAGAGGUUUUCAAAGCAGAAGGUAAAAAAACUAGGAAAAGAAGCCCAAGUUUUAAAGGAGAAGGAUCUGAUGAAGAGCAUGAGCUCUGCAGUUUGCAUGCCGGAGAUUUUGUGCACUUGUGCUGAUCAAAUGCAUGCUGGAAUUUUAUUGAAUACCUACCUUGUCUGCCCUUUGGCUUCUAUACUUCACACUCCUCUAGAUGAACAAUCAGCACGGUUCUGUGCUGCAUCUGUUGUUACUGCUUUAGAAGAUCUACACGAGGUGAUUUUCUAGCAGUAGUUUUCUUCCACUUCAUUUCCUCAAUUCCUUGUGUAUCUGUAAUUUAUUUUAGUUUGUCGUUAACACCCACAUUUCAUUUGAAUUUCAGAAUGGUGUCCUUUACAGAGGAGUCUCUCCGGAUGUUUUAAUGUUGAACAAAACAGGCCAUUUACAGGUUGGUACUAUUGUAUGCUGUGUUAUAGUUUGGGCUGACUUUUAUCUUUAAAUUACUAUUAAGUUUACACAUAAUCAAAGGUCUCCCUUCUCUUUUACAUAUGAAGGGUGGCAAAUCACGAGCUAAGCUUAGUUAUUUUAUUUUGUUAUGUUGCAUUGCAGCUUGUCGAUUUCAGAUUUGGGAAGAAGUUAUCUAGUGAGAGAACAUUUACAAUUUGUGGGAUGGCAGACUCUUUAGCACCAGAGGUAAUUCAGGGAAAGGGCCAUGGUCUUCCUGCUGACUGGUAAAAAUACAUCCUGUUCUCCAUUUGUCUGGUUGUCAUAAACCUCUUCCUGCUAUAUUUUUCAUCUAAAUGAACAGAAUUGAUUAGCUCAAAAUAACUACACUGCUAGCUUGUUAAAGAACAUGAUUUGGGUUUAUAAUGGAGAUUAAUUAACAAUGUCACAAAGAAAGGAAUUUUAAUUUAACCAUGAAGGUUUGGUUAGUGCAUCAGAAAUGUCUACAGGAUGUUUUUGUUGGCUUACUGAAGGGUGCAGUGGUAAGGCACAUUGCACUGCCAAGAGAGAACUCAGGUUUGAACCUUGGAGAUGACAUUGUUGAGAGGGGCAGCCACGAACCCCAAAAGGAUUAGUCUUCAUGGACUGUAAAACAGACAUAAAGGAUACCUUGGUCAUACCAAAAAAGAGGGAAAUUCAUCUUUAGUUUGUUCCUUUACCUGCCACUUAAUAUACCGUAGGUUUUCCUAUUGUAGUUCUUGAAAGUUUUCAUGUGGAUUUUAAAGAACAUCGAAGAUGGAGGACCUUUGGGUAGGAUGUGCAGUCCUAAUUUACUAUUUCUUACCAGUGGGUUUGAAAGAGUUUGUGCAGUUUGAUGACCUUUUUUUCCUCUCGGCUUUCUUCUAUGAAAUUAAUCUUUUGAAACAUGCAGGUGGUCCCUGGGAGUCCUAAUCUAUUUCUUGCUUCAAGGUGAAAUGCCAUUUGGAUCGUGGAGACAAAGCGAGCUUGAUACAUUUGCAAAGAUUGCAAAAGGACAGUUUACAUUGUCGCAGAAUUUAAGCCCUGAAGCUGUUGACCUAAUCACUAAGGUCUUUUCAUUACCAUUUCUUAGAUACCUCAUAGAAAUCAUGGGAUCGCUCACAUGUUUGUGUUAAAAUAAUUUUUCAGUUGCUUGAAGUUGAUGAAAACGUAAGACUGGGAAGCCAUGGUUCUGAUUCUGUCAAAAAUCAUCCGUGGUUUGAUGGUGUUGAUUGGAAAGGAAUCAGAGAUCAAAGUGUUCCUGUUCCUCACGAGUUAACUUCUCGUAUAGCUCAACGUUUAGAAAGUCAUAAUGAAGAGUGCCCUGUUGCCGUUACUUCCCCGACCCAAGAUAUAGCAGUGCUCAAUGAUCCGGAGUGGCUCGAUGAAUGGUAGAAGAAUGACCUAUAUAGUUUCUCCUUCGGUCUACAUUUUGCCAAUAGUUUGCGAGUUGAUUUCCAUUCGACAUGAUCAAAAUGACUACUGGAUUAUCGGAAACUGGAGCAGAGAAAUCAUUGCAAUAAAGUCAAUUGUAAAGUUGAUGGCCUUAGAUUGCUCAAAAUUCUGUCAUUUUUUGGUGCUCAGUUGCCACAUUAGCCGCAUCUAACCAAUUCAGUGGAUAGCUCAGUUAAUAGGUUUUUUUUUUUUUUUUUUUUUAAGAUCUUCAAUUUUUACAUAUUUCCCACUUUUGUAUAUAGGUAAAUAUGUAAAUGAGGGUUCCUUGUACUUCAGGCUUCCACUUCACUUUACCGGUGGCAGUAGAUAGUUAAUUGGCGGGGUUCGGCCAAUUAGGUCGAUAUAGAUGUAUUGGCAUAUCGACACCACAUAGGAUAUGUUGAUUGACAUCUGUAAUUCUUAUUUCAAAGUUACUCGAUCAUUUGUACUGUUUUCUACCGACUUUUAUUUAAAUGAAACCUAGUUUUCUCUUGCAAACCAAUCCCCUCUUUCCCCAAGAUAUAUAGAUAUAUAUUUCUAUGCGCAGAAAGGCCUGCUCGUAAAAGGAAAAUACUCCAGGGCACUUUCGAUCAAGUUCACCAGCAAGAGUUGGGGAGAAGACAAGGAAAGAUUGCAGGUGAGGUCCUUUUUCUAUGCUUAAUUCAUGGAGUUAAAGCAUGCAUUGUUUCUGGUUAUACUUGCUUUUGGUGUGUUUGAAACUGGUCAUAUCUGAUUAUCUUAUUCACAGAGGGAAGUUGCUUCAACGAGAAAGAUAGUUGAGUGGACUUUUCUCACUUCUCAACCAAGUUUUAGAGGAACCUUAUCACCUUUAUGAAGUUCACUGCCAAUGAUGUUGACCAAAUGACUUUGAUGAGAAGAUAAGAUUUUUGUUUUUGACAAUAUGUAAAGAAAAACAGUCUGGCAUGGAAUAUAUGCUGUUAUUCGUUAGUUUUUACUGUUGAAUUUUAUCUUCUGCAUUAAUAAUUGGUUGCAUCUGAGAUUUUGACAUCGGAAAGCACUGAGACUGGGACUUAUACAAGUUGUUCUGUGUAGUUUAGUACUUCAGUUCUCAACUUCUCCAGUUCCGACUUGGAUGCUGGCUAUUUGAGGCUCUUCCCCGAAGGAUAACACGGCUACUUGAAACAAUGAUUUGCCAAAGUUAUGAACAACAAUGAUCUUUGUGUCACUUUUUUGAUACCAUAAGAUGCCUCACAGCAAUAAGUGGCUCUGAUAUCAAAUGUCACGGCUUACAUCAACGUGUAAGGUAUCGGUCUAACGUUGUUGUCUGCAAAAGACGUUUCAUAAGUUAAAGCUGAUGUGACCAUUUAUAUCCCAUUCUUUGGGUUUUUUACCUAAUUAGGAUAGAAAAAAAAAAUUUACUGAAAUAGUAUGUCAGAAAAAAAAAUUACCAAAAUGGGUUACUUUUUCAUUGGAGCCUAUUUCGUAGGAGCCAAUGAAUAAAAUAAUAAUAAUUUUUUUUUAAUAAAAUAUAAAAUAUACUUUUCUGGGUUAGUAUAUAACUCGUAUAAUACAUAGUAUUGGCGCCUAUUUGGAAGGCUCCAAUGGUGGUGCCUAUUUGGGAGGCGCCAAUGGUGGUGCCUAUGUAGCAGGCGCCAAUGGUGGUGCCAUAUUAGAAGGCGCUAAUGCUGUGAUUUUUCUCUAUAAAUACCCCCAACACAGACAUAAAUUUGACUACAAAAACGGAAGAAAGAAGAAGGAAGGAAGCAGAAGAAAAGAAGGAAGGAAAAGAAGAAAAAAGUAGGUAUUUUGGUUUUUUUUUAAAUAGAAUGUAGAGUUUUGUUAGUAAUUUUAUUAUUCGAAAGUUAUUUUGCCAUGUUAUUAAUUUUGUUAGUUUCUGAAUGAAAAAUUUUACAUUAAAAUUUUUAUGUAUUUUGUUUACAUUUUGAAACUGUUUUAAGAAAUUUGAAAUUAUUUUUUUACAGAUCUAGUAUUGAAAAUGGAGAAUCAGUUUUUUGUAUGCGUUUAUUUCGAUGGAAAAAUUUUAACAACUGUGGGAUGUAUAUUUGAAUGUCGCAAACAAGUAGCAAUGAGAUUUGAUAGAAAUAUCUUGUUUGAUGAUAUGAAGGAAAAAAUUAGUGAAAAAAUUUAUAGACGUUGUGGGAGAAGGAUAUCAAAAGUUUUCUACAAGUUUCCAGUAUCAACAGAUCCAAUAAAAUUUACCGAAAUGGAACUUGUAGACGAUGAAGACGUGGAAACAAUGGUCGCUCUUUAUUGUGGGACUUCGAGUAACAAAAAUGCACCGAUUCAGUUAUUUGCUGAGUUAGCCAGUGUGGAGGCAACUGAAGAUCCCACUCCAUUAGGUGAAGAAGAUGGAGUUGAAGCGCCGUGUAUGGUGGUUCCGGUAUCGUAUGUUGAUAGUCAAUCACCUAUACAUGGGAUAAAUAUUGAUCUUAAUGCUGCAGCCGAGACUGAUGUGGUUGGUGAUGAUGUAUACUAUAGUAGUGAUCUUGUUGAUUACGAAGUGGAUAGUGAGAGUGAUCCCGACGCAGACGAGGUCCCGGAUGAUAUUGACGACAAAGGGGUGAAUGAGGAUGAAAAUUUUAAUGCGUCUUCAGUCGGAAACCAGAUUCGUCGUAUUGUGAUACACAAUAAUCCUGGGGCACACAUGUCUCGGAUAGACCCCGAUGCGGCACGGGCAGCUGAGUUUUCGGAGUACCCUGAAAUACCACAUGGUUACCGAAUGGGCGUAUAUUCUGAUCCAGAUGAGUUGCGCGUGGGCCAGAGAUUUGAAAGUAAGGAAGAAUGUAUGUUUGCAAUUAAGCGGUAUAGCAUGAAUAUAUCAGCAGAUUACAAAGUCAUCGAGUCUAAACCAACAUUAUAUAUUGGAGAGUGUUGGAGGUCGGCAGAAGGUUGCAAUUGGCGGGUACGAGCUGCAUUUAUGCAGAAGUCGCAGAUGUGGGAAAUACGAAAAUUUGUGGAGCCCCACACAUGCACUUCAACACGUAUGACAGAAAAUCAUCGAAAACUUGACUCCAAAACUAUCUGUACAUGCAUCAUGCCAAUGGUGAAAGACAUGCCGACCAUUAAAGUUUCGGUACUGAUUGCUGAAAUACAAGCACGAUUCCAGUAUCGAGUAUCAUACCGGAAGGCAUGGAUAGCUAAACAGAUGGCAAUGGAGCAAUUGUACGGAGAUUUCGAUGCAUUGUACAAUGAAUUACAAGGAUGGAUAGCCGCCAUGAGGGAACACGUGCCGGGGACUGUAAUUGAGUUGCAGACACGAUCUUAUGACGGUCCAAAUGACCAACUACAAUCGAGAAAAAGAAUUUUCCAUCGGAUGUUCUGGACUUUUGAUCAAUGUGUACGCGCAUUUCCCCACUGCAAACCAUUUGUGCAAGUAGAUGGAACCUGGCUAUAUGGAAAGUACACACAGAUCUUACUUCUUGCGGUUGCUCAAGACGGCAACAGGAACGUACUCCCGAUAGCAUUUGCCAUCGUCGAUAAGGAGAACAUGGAAUCGUGGGAGUUCUUUCUUACCAACCUGCGGAGGUAUGUGAUUAGCAAUGAUAAUAUUUGCAUCAUUUCCGAUAGAGGAAAAGGAUUAAUUGCAGCCAUUAGGCGUUCUGGUGUACUAUGACGAUCUGUUUACUGCAUCCGGCACAUCGCGGCUAACUUCCAGCGAGAUUAUAAGAAUGCAGACUGGAAGAGACAAGUUGUGAGAAUGGGUAAAGAAUUACCUUAUCUUUUAAAUAUAAGUUUUAAUGUUUUAGAGCAAUACUGUAACUUAAAAUUUUUUUAAUACAUAUGCAGCGUACGAGCUAGAGCCACACAUUUUUCGCCAAAAAAUGGCCCGGCUUGAGAGUGACAUGGAGGGUCAAACCAACACAUCUUUUCGGCAGUGGCUGGGGACCAUGGAGCCGUGGCAAUGGGCUCAAAGUUUUGACGAGGGCUUUCGUUAUGGUCAAAUGACUACAAACUUAGUGGAGGGGAUCAACGCUGUGUUAUUAAAAACACGGCAUCUUCCAAUUUCAUCUGUCUUCUCGGUAACGUUCUUCAGGUUGGCUACCUUGAUGCCAAGAAUGGGUCAGCAACAAGUGAACCAGAUGGAGGCGGGCCAUGUCUUUGUCGAAGGCAUUAGGGAUGCAAUGGUUGUAAACCGUCGAAUGGCGAGGUCGAUGACAGUAGAAGUAUAUUCACGACAUAAUGAAACGUUUCGAGUUACAGAGACCAUCGGUUGUCGACCCAGUAUACCACCUAGAUCCUACGGAGUUGAUCUUCGAAAUAGACGGUGCGAUUGCAGAAGGUUUUAAACACUUCAUUUUUCAUGUGCACACGUCGUGGCAGCUUGUGCUAAAGUUGGGCUCAAUGUAGAACAAUUUAUCGAUGAAGUGUACACCAUCGAACGCACGUUGCGUGUAUGGGAAAACGAGUUCCCCGUGCUUCCUGACCUAUCUACUUGAGAGGUACCUCCGGCGACCUUCGAGCUAGUCCCAGACAUAAGGUUGCGUAGAAACCUGAAAGGUCGUCCGCAAUCAUCCAGAAUCCAUAACGAAAUGGACAUUAGGGAGAAAUCUGACGGCAAUUUGUGUGGCGUAUGCAGAUUACCCGGUCAUAAUCGGAGUAAAUGCCCUCUUCGAAACUACCAUGUUGGACAAUCGUCUCAAUCGAGUAGAAAUUGAUAUGUACUUCAUUACAUAAAUAUGGUUUGAAUCACAAAAUUGUCUACAAUUUCUUGCAGUUAUGGAGACAUUUUUAAACCAUUGUAAUUUUAUUUAGAUAAGAACUAUCAUUACAUAAAUAUGCGAGUGUUAUGCAAAUUGGAUAAUAAGGGUAAGUACAUCAAGUGGACCUUACUGUCGUUUGCAUCCGGCAUGAGUACACCCCCUAUAAGGUGCAUAAUGUAAGCUCGAACAGCCUGCAUCACCUCCCAUUCAUUAGCAGUACUUGGCAAAUGCUCAAAAUUGGCAUGUAGCCAUGAAAAUCUCAAACUGGUAAAUUUCCCCUGACUUGGCGAGCGUCCAAGUAAUUCAUUGCAAAGGGUAGCCGGCCUAGAGAUUGAACUUACGCCCGUGACCGCAUUCCCGUCUAUGGGAAGCCCGAGCUGUAGUGCAACAUCCUCUAGAGUGACGGUACACUCUCCGCACGGCAGAUGAAAUGUGUGGGUCGCCGGACGCCAUCGCUCGACUAAAGCGGAAAUCAAGUCGUAUCGCAGUUCAAAAGUCCGAAUCAAUGCCGCAGAUCCGAACCCGACUAACUCUAAGUAUGGUAUUAGGCGUUCAUCUGGCUGAAACCCUACACUAUUAACACGGCCCCUCAAUGCGCGGUACGGACCCUGACAUUAUUAAAUUAGCAAAAUAGUUAAUACAAUAUAAUUUAAUUCAACAAAUAACAUGAAUAUCAAAAACAAAUUUUAUUACCAUCUCAUUAAUAGUACUUGAUAUGUGAUUAUUAUUAUUAAUUAGAGAACCCAUUUUCUGCAAAUCUGCAAUAAAAAAAAUGAAUUCAGUUAAUUUGUUUCAAAAAAUCAAUAAUUUCUGUUAAAUAAAUACAAUAUCAAAUAAAAUUUAUUUAUAUAGAAGUUACAUUAUAUAAAAAUUAAAUGAGUUAACAACAACUAUAUGAUUAAAAAAGUCAGUUAUAAUUAAACUUUUAAUAAAAUGAUUUUUAAUUUAUUUAUAAUUAAACUUUUAAUGAAAUGAUUUUUAAUUUUUUUAUAAACUUUAUAUGUUAAACUCACCAAAUACUAAACUAAACACAACAACUUAUAGCUUAAUCCUAAAUUACUAAUAAAUUAAAUUUAAAAUAAUUACAAACACAAAAUAUUGUGAAUUUUUCCCAAAUUACUAACAAAUUAAUUAUAAAAUAAUUACAAUAUUCAUACAAAAAAUUACAAUAUUACAAUAUAUCCCCACAUUACAAUAUUCAUACAAAAUUACAAUAUUACAAUAUUCAUACAAAAAAAUUGCAAUAUUCAUACAAAAUUAUAAUAUUACAAUAUUCAUACAACAUUACAAUAUUCAUAAAAAAAUUAUAAUAUUCAUACAAAAUUACAAAACUACAAUAUUCAUACAAAAAAAUUGCAAUAUUCAUACAAAAUUAUAAUAUUACAAUAUUCAUACAAAAAAAUAUAAUAUUCAUACAAAAUUACAAAAUUACAAUAUUCAUACAAAAAAAUUGCAAUAUUCAUACAAAACUAUAAUAUUACAAUAUUCAUACAAAAAAUUUAUAAUAUUCAUACAAAAUUACAAUAUUCAUACAAAAAAUUACUAAUCCAAAACUAUAAAUACAAAUUUAAUUAUAAAAUAAUUACAAUAUUCAUACAACAUUACAAUAUUCAUAAAAAAAUUAUAAUAUUCAUACAAAAAAUUUAAAAUAUUCAUACAAAAUUCUAAUCUAAACUAUAAACACUAAAUAUAGAUAAUUUAUAAUUAAUAAUUAAUAAAAAAAAUUCACAAUAUUUUCUAAAAUAUAUCCUAAAAAUUUCACAAACUAUAAACCUUUUAAAUUAUAAACAAAAUUAUUUAUUAAAAAAAUACAUUACCUUUUUUCUUUCUUUCUUCUUCUCCUCUUCUUCUCCUUUCUCUCUUUUUUUUUUCUAUACCGUGUGGACUGAUUUUGGGACCAUUUGCUAUUACUUAUAGCAAAAAUAAAAGCUUAUGAAGGGACAAUUCACUAGCACCAGCAGCAGCAUGCAGGGGGGGCUGACACCCAUUGGCGCCUCUCUAUCAGGCUCCUUCAUUGGCGCCUACUUGAAAGGUGCCACCCGACCCGACCCGUAUUUUUGCUCGUAUUUUUUUCAAAAAAAUAUUAAAAAAAUAUAAAAUUAUAUUUUAUUAAAAAAGAUUAUUAUUUUAUUCAUUGGCGCCUACGAAAUAGGCUCCAAUGAAAAAGUAACCCAUUUUAGUAAUUUUUUUCUGACAUACUAUUUCAGUAAUUUUUUUUUCUAUCCUAAUUGGGUAAAAAACCCCCCAUUCUUUAGUAUAUAGCCAAUAUGAGAUUUAUAACUCUUCUUUAGGAUUACGACACUUGUAUACACGAGGAUGCGAAGGGGAGAAUCCCCAAAAGAGAGACAAAGUUGUUGCUGUACUUAGCUUGUCCCGAGUUCGUACAAGAGGUCACCGGUAGAGAGGAGACAAUCCAAGGGUUACUUGAUGGGUUCAAAGAUAUUUUAGGUAAGGCAAAGCUGUUUAGCGGGUUUUUUACCCAAUUAUGAUAGAAAAAAAAAUUACUGAAAUAGUAAGUCAGAAAAAAAAUUACCAAAAUGGGUUACUUUUUCAUUGGAGCCUAUUUCGUAGGCACCAAUGAAUAAAAUAAUAAUAUUUUUUUUUAAUAAAAUGUAAUUUUAUAUUUUUUUAAAUAUUUGUUUGAAAAAAAUACAGGUCAAAAAUACGGGUCGGGUCGGGUGGCGCCUCUCAAGUAGGCGCCAAUGAAGGAGCCUGAUGGAGAGGCGCCAAUGGGUGUCAGCCCCCCCUGCAUGCUGCUGCUGGUGCUAGUGAAUUGUCCCUUCAUAAGCUUUUAUUUUUGCUAUAAGUAAUAGCAAAUGGUCCCAAAAUCAGUCCACACGGUAUAGAAAAAAAAAAGAGAGAAAGGAGAAGAAGAGGAGAAGAAGAAAGAAAGAAAAAAGGUAAUGUAUUUUUUUAAUAAAUAAUUUUGUUUAUAAUUUAAAAGGUUUAUAGUUUGUGAAAUUUUUAGGAUAUAUUUUAGAAAAUAUUGUGAAUUUUUUUUAUUAAUUAUUAAUUAUAAAUUAUCUAUAUUUAGUGUUUAUAGUUUAGAUUAGAAUUUUGUAUGAAUAUUUUAAAUUUUUUGUAUGAAUAUUAUAAUUUUUUUAUGAAUAUUGUAAUGUUGUAUGAAUAUUGUAAUUAUUUUAUAAUUAAAUUUGUAUUUAUAGUUUUGGAUUAGUAAUUUUUUGUAUGAAUAUUGUAAUUUUGUAUGAAUAUUAUAAAUUUUUUGUAUGAAUAUUGUAAUAUUAUAGUUUUGUAUGAAUAUUGCAAUUUUUUUGUAUGAAUAUUGUAAUUUUGUAAUUUUGUAUGAAUAUUAUAUUUUUUUGUAUGAAUAUUGUAAUAUUAUAAUUUUGUAUGAAUAUUGCAUUUUUUUGUAUGUUAAUAUUGUAUUUUGUAUUUUGUAUGCAUAUUAAUUUUUUUAUGAAUAUUGUAAUGUGUAUGAUAUUGUAAUAUUUAAUUUGUAUGCCUUGCAUUUUUUUGUCUGACUCUUGUAAUUUGUACUUUAUAUGCUAUUGUACUGUGGGUUAUUGUACAUUUGUUAAUUUUUUGUAUGAAUUGGUCAUUAUUUUAUAAUUUUGUUAGUAUUUGUUUCUUUUGUGUUUGUUUUUUUAAUUUCUUUAUUAGUAAUUAGGAUUAAGCUCUAAAGUUGUGUGUUCGUUUAGUAUUUAGUGAGUUUAAACCUAUACCGUUUCUAAACAAAAUUAACAUCAUUUCAUAAAAGUUUAAUUAUAUAAAAUAAAAAUCAUUUUUUAAAAAUUUAUUAUAACUGACUUUUUUAUCAUAUAGUUAUUGUUAACUCAUUUACAUUCUUUUAUAAUAUAUGUAAAUUCUAUUAUAAUAAAUUUUAUUUGAUUUUGUAUUUAUUUAACAGAAUUAUUGAUUUUUUGAAACAAAUUAACUGAAUCCAUUUUUUUAGUGCAGAGUUUGCAGGACAUGGGUUCUCUAAUUAAUAAUAAUAAUCACAUAUCAAGUACUAUUAAUGAGAUGGUAAUAAAAUUUGUUUUUGAUAUUCAUGUUAUUUGUUGAAUUAAAUUAUAUUGUAUUAACUAUUUUGCUAAUUUAAUAAUGUCAGGGUCCGUACCGCGCAUUGAGUGGCCGUGUUAAUAGUGUAGGGUUUCAGCCAGAUGAACGCCUAAUACCAUACUUAGAGUUAGCCGGGUUCGGAUCAGCGGCAUUGAUUCGGACUUUUGAACUGCGAUACGACUUGAUUUCAGCUUUAGUCGAGCGAUGGCGUCCGGAGACCCACACAUUUCAUCUGCCGUGCGGAGAGUGUACCGUCACUCUAGAGGAUGUUGCACUACAGCUCGGGCUUCCCAUAGACGGGAAUGCGGUCACGGGCGUAAGUUCAAUCUCUAGGCCGGCUACCCUUUGCAAUGAAUUACUUGGACACUCGCCAAGUCAGGGGAAAUUUACCAGUUUGAGAUUUUCAUGGCUAUAUGCCAAUUUUGAGCAUUUGCCAAGUACUGCUAAUGAAUGGGAGGUGAUGCAGGCUGUUCGAGCUUACAUUAUGCACCUUAUAGGGGGUGUACUCAUGCCGGAUGCAAACGGCAGUAAGGUCCACUUGAUGUACUUACCCUUCUUAUCCAAUUUGCAUAACACUCGUUCAUACAGUUGGGGGUCCGUAGUUUUAGCCAUGCUGUAUCGCGAACUUUGUCGGACAACAGCUCCUUCUGCGGUUGACAUGGGCGGAUGCCUCAUACUGCUGCAGUCAUGGGCACUUUACCGGAUGCCAUUCUUGGCAUCCAUUAGGCAUCAAUCAUAUGUAUUUCCACUCGUUAAUAGGUGAUGAAUUUUUACUCAUUAUAAUAAUUAGUUGACUUUUUCUAUAUUAUAUUAUUCUAACAUUUUUGUUUUCGUAGGUGGAGUAGUAAUCUGAGUAUCGGGAAGUCACAGACGGUUCCGUAGGACCUAGGUGGUAUACAUUGAGCCCAACUUUAGCACAAGCUGCCACGACGUGUGCACAUGGAAAAUGAAGUGUUUGAAACCUUCUGCAAUCGCACCGUCUAUUUCGGAGAUCAACUCCGUAGGACCUAGGUGGUAUACUGGGUCGACGACCGAUGGUCUCUGUAACUCGAAACGUUUCAUUAUGUCGUGAAUAUACUUCUACUGUCAUCGACCUCGCCAUUCGACGGUUUACAACCAUUGUAUCCCUAAUGCCUUCGACAAAGACAUGACCCGCCUCCAUCUGGUUCACUUGUUGCUGACCCAUUCUUGGCAUCAAGGUAGCCAACCUGAAGAACGUUGCCGAGAAGACAGAUGAAAUUGGAAGAUGCCGUGUUUUUAAUAACACAGCGUUGAUCCCCUCCACUAAGUUUGUAGUCAUUUGACCAUAACGAAAGCCCUCGUCAAAACUUUGAGCCCAUUGCCACGGCUCCAUGGUCCCCAGCCACUGUCGAAAAGAUGUGUUGGUUUGACCCUCCAUGUCACUCUCAAGCCAGGCCAUUUUUUGGCGAAAAAUGUGUGGCUCUAGCUCGUACGCUGCAUAUGUAUUAAAAAAAAUUUAAGUUACAGUAUUGCUCUAAAACAUUAAAACUUAUAUUUAAAAGAUAAGGUAAUUCUUUACCCAUUCUCACAACUUGUCUCUUCCAGUCUGCAUUAUUAUAAUCUCGCUAGAAGUUAGCCGCGAUGUACCGGAUGCAGUAAACAGAUCGCCAUGGUACACCAGAACGCCUAAUGGCUGCAAUUAAUCCUUUUCCUCUAUCGAAAAUGAUGCAAAUAUUAUCAUUGCUAAUCACAUACCUCCGCAGGUUGGUAAGAAAGAACUCCCACGAUUCCAUGUUCUCAUUAUCGACGAUGGCAAAUGCUAUCGGGAGUACGUUCCUGUUGCCGUCUUGAGCAACCGCAAGAAGUAAGAUCUGUGUGUAUUUUCCAUAUAGCCAGGUUCCAUCUACUUGCACAAAUGGUUUGCAGUGGGGAAAUGCGCGUACACAUUGAUCAAAAGUCCAGAACAUCCGAUGGAAAAUUCUUUUUCUCGAUUGUAGUUGGUCAUUUGGACCGUCAUAAGAUCGUGUCUGCAACUCAAUUACAGUCCCCGGCACGUGUUCCCUCAUGGCGGCUAUCCAUCCCUGUAAUUCAUUGUACAAUGCAUCGAAAUCUCCGUACAAUUGCUCCAUUGCCAUCUGUUUAGCUAUCCAUGCCUUCCGGUAUGAUACUCGAUAUUGGAAUCGUGCUUGUAUUUCAGCAAUCAGUACCGAAACUUUAAUGGUCGGCAUGUCUUUCACCAUUGGCAUGAUGCAUGUACAGAUAGUUUUGGAGUCAAGUUUUCGAUGAUCUUCUGUCAUACGUGUUGAAGUGCAUGUGUGGGGCUCCACAAAUUUUCGUAUUUCCCACAUCUGCGACUUCUGCAUAAAUGCAGCUUGUACUCGCCAAUUCCAGCCUUCUGUCAACCUCCAACACUCUCCAAUAUAUAAUGUUGGUUUAGACUCGAUGACUUUGUAAUCUAUUGAUAUAUUCAUGCUAUACCGCUUAAUUGCAAACAUACAUUCUUCCUUACUUUCAAAUCUCUGGCCCACGCGUAACUCAUCUGGAUCAGAAUAUACGCUCAUUCGGUAACCAUGUGGUAUUUCAGGGUACUCCGAAAACUCAGCUGCCCGUGCCGCAUCGGGGUCUAUCCGAGACAUGUGUGCCCCAUGAUUAUUGUGUAUCACAAUACGACGAAUCUGGUUUCCGACUCAAGACGCAUUAACAUUUCCAUCCUCAUUCACCCCUUCGUCGUCAAUAUCAUCCGGGACCUCGUCUGCGUCGGGAUCACUCUCACUAUCCACUUCGUAAUCAACAAGAUCACUACUAUAGUAUACAUCAUCACCAACCACAUCAGUCUCGGCUGCAGCAUUAAGAUCAAUAUUUAUCCCAUGUAUAGGUGAUUGACUAUCAACAUACGAUACCGGAACCACCAUACACGGCGCUUCAACUCCAUCUUCUUCACCUAAUGGAGUGGGAUCUUUAGUUGCCUCCACACUGGCUAACUCAGCAAAUAACUGAAUCGGUGCAUUUGUGUUACUCGAAGUCCCACAAUAAAGAGCGACCAUUGUUUCCACGUCUUUAUCGUCUACAAGUUCCAUUUCGGUAAAUUUUAUUGGAUCUGUUGAUACUGGAAACUUGUAGAAAACUUUUGAUAUCCUUCUCCCACAACGUCUAUAAAUUUUUUCACUAAUUUUUUCCUUCAUAUCAUCAAACAAGAUAUUUCUAUCAAAUCUCAUUGCUACUUGUUUGCGACAUUCAAAUAUACAUCCCACAGUUGUUGUUAAAAUUUCUCCAUCGAAAUAAACGCAUACAAAAAACUGAUUCUCCAUUUUCAAUACUAGAUCUGUAAAAAAAUAAUUUCAAAUUUCUUAAAACAGUUUCAAAAUGUAAACAAAAUACAUAAAAAUUUUAAUGCAAAAAUUUUCAUUCAGAAACUAACAAAAUUAAUAACAUGGCAAAAUAACUUUCGAAUAAUAAAAUUACUAACAAAACUCUACAUUCUAUUUAAAAAAAAAACCAAAAUACCUACUUUUUUUCUUCUUUUCCUUCCUUCUUCUUUCUUCCGUUUUUGUAGUCAAAUUUAUGUCUGUGUUGGGGGUAUUUAUAGAGAAAAAUCACAGCAUUGGCACCUUCUAAUAUGGCACCACCAUUGGCGCCUGCUACAUAGGCACCACCAUUGGUGCCUCCCAAAUAGGCACCACCAUUGGAGCCUUCCAAAUAGGCGCCAAUACUAUGUAUUAUACAGGUUAUAUACUAACCCGGAAAAGUAUAAUUUAUAUUUUAUUAAAAAAAAUUAUUAUUAUUUUAUUCAUUGGCGCCUACGAAAUAGGCUCCAAUGAAAAAGUAACCCAUUUUGGUAAUUUUUUUUCUGACAUACUAUUUCAGUAAUUUUUUUUUCUAUCCUAAUUAGGUAAAAAAACCCUGUUUAGCACUUGGUUGAUGUUGAGGAAAUAACUUGAGGUAAGGUCAUUGAAUUUAGUUUUGAACCCAUUACAGUCAACAAAAUUCUCUAGUUAAGAAAAUAGAAAAUGCAGUAAAUUAUUACUAGAUUACUACAAUAUUUUAGGGUAAACUAUACUAAGGUCACUAAAUUAUUAGAAAAUUUUUGUUCUGGUCACUUAACUUCAAAAUGAUACAAAAUGACCAUUGAACUAUUCGAAAGCUUUUAUUUAAGUCACUAGGUUGUUAUGAUUUUUUUAAAAGAAGUUCGGCUAGAAAGCUCCAAAUGAGUAUUUGACGAUCGAUAUGGUGGAUCAAUAUCCUUCGAUAAGUAAAAGAAUAUACCUUAGAUCCAAAUCACUUUGAUGGCUAGUGUCAAAGAUCAAAGAAGAAAGUUGUUUAAAUUUUGGUUCUCAGAUUAUUGACGUUCAAAACUAUUGCAUGAAAAAAAUUGAAUUGUGAAACAGAAGGGAAAUGAGAGUUUUUGAUUGGUGUAUGUGGUGCGAAUAAAGAGUCAUAAAUCAUCGAUUUUAAUAGCUCAGUGACUUAAAUGAAAAUUUUUAAAUAUUUCAGUAAUUAUUUUGUAACUUUUUGAAGUUAAGUGACUAAAAUGUAAAUUUAUUAAUAGUUUAGUGAUCUUGAAUGUAGUUUGCUCAAUAUUUUAAUAUUAUUAUAGUUGAGUGUAUGACAAAAAAAAAAAAAAAGUUAGUGAGAUUAUAGUUUUUAUGGACCUGUUCAAUGUGUAGUGCAUGCAGGUGACCUUAAAUAUUUUGCUGAAAGAUCGUAAGCUAUAUCAAGUGAUCAAUAAACUAUAGAGAGAUGCAUGCCUCAAACCUAAUGAGUAAGAGGGGGGGGGAUUUGUACCCAAAACAAUUCGAAUCCUAAAUGAUUUGAAUCCAAGCUUAACCCAUACGAAUUCAGAAAUUCGAGCAUCACACCUGAAAUGAACAGGAAAGGACUUAAAUGACAGGAACUGAAAUAAUGUGAAAAUUUUAAAAAUUGAAUUUACUGAUUGAUCCCGCGGUGAUGUCAUUAGACUGAGGAGUAGUUGGUGCCUUCCAUAAUUUUCUAUGGAGGAGUGGGUUUAUUAAAAUAUAUUGGCCUGCAUUCAUGGUGUUUUUGGUAAGUGAGUGGCGUGAUCUGGUUCUGGUCAGGCAGAUAUGGACGAAGGAAAACAGGUAAGCUGCUUUAACUUUUAGGGAUGGCGUUGUCUCGAAUAUUCGAAAUUCGUAAAUUUGUUUUAAAAUCUCAAUUUGUACAGUGUUAUUUAUUAAAUGCGAGCACUAUUAACUGAAUUUAUUUCUAAAUUAUAUGAUGGAUAAUUGAAUCUAUUAAAUAUUUUAUUAUAUAAUUAUAAUAAAAUAUAAUCAUUCGACCUGAGAUUCAACCAAAAAUAUUUAUAAUUUUAAUAGUCACAAACAUUCUAUUUGGAGGUGGGGAGGCCAGACAAACUACUCUAUCUUCUUUUUUUUUUGGAAAGUUUGUUUUUCCUUACACUUAAUCUUCUUCAAGACCAUUUUGUGUCUUUAUUUUUACUUCCGUUGAUACGGUAUAUAAAUAUAUCUAAAUUAAUCAAGUUAAAAAAACUUAAAAGGUAAAAUAUUAUUUUAGAUAGUGAUUGGAAUGAAUGAAAAUAUUAUUCAGAUAUGUAAAAUACAAAUAGAUUAAUACAUUUCGAUGACUUUCAGUGUUUUUUUAGAGUUUAUAAGUGUAAAUACAUGAAUAAAUAAUUACAAAAUAAAAUAAAAUCAAUACAAAUUAUAAAGAGACGAAUAAUAAGUAAUUAUCAGAUAAAAUUUAUACAUGGCAACUAUAUAUAGUGGGACUAGAGACCCGCUAAUGAUAAUCGCACAUGAAUAUAAAGAAUUAAAAAAAAAACAACAACAAAUAUAAAUUUGAGAGCAAGGAAAAAGUAUAACUUAAUUGAACAACCUACAUUCUUUGGUGGUGUUCAUCAAAAAUAGAAAGAAAGAAGCUUUUUGGUUGCAUUUAGAAGAGAUCAUCCGUUGAGUUUCAUAGCGGUCAGAUUUAAAAAAAAAAAAAGCAUUAAUAUUUAUAUAUUUUUAUAAUUAAAUUAAAUUAAAUUAUUUAAAAAAAUUUUGAAUGGGCUUAUAUUGAAUUAAGGCAAAAAAUUAAAAUCAUCAUCCAAAUAUGAUGUAUCUAUUGAAUCGGACUAACCACUAAACUUGUAAAUAGGUCUAAUCAAAAUAUUUUAUUAAGACAAACCAAUCCAUUCUUUAAUCUUAUCAAAUGCUAAAGACAUUAAGCAAUCAAACCAUAAUCAACAUUGCUUAAUCUUAAUAUGAAUUGACUUGGAAAUAAAUAACCACAUGCCGUUUAUCUUUUGUUUGAACGAAGUUGCUUGGUCAAGGCUUUUUUAACCUAAUAAUUCAUAUAUAUCCACGUAUUUUUUAAUCCUAUCAUAAUCAUGUUCACGGUAUUUUAUAUUUUAUAAUUAAUUUUGAUAUAUUUAUAAUCGUUUAAGGAUUAAACUCGAGAUUAAUAUUAAUUAAAAACUUGAGCACAAAUAUUUUGCUACUUCAUUUGUGAUUCGGUCGACCUAUAGAUUUAUAUAAUAUGUAUACUAAAAUUGAAUGAGAAAAUUAAUUAACAAUUACAAAAAAUUAAUCAAUCGUAUUUUGUAAAAAUAUUAUGGAGAUUUUUAUACUAUAAGUUAGAUUGUAUUUUGCCCUCUUUAUUAAAAGAAUGGACAAAUUAGUUCCUAUUCAUGACAUAUAUAUGAACCAAUUUUUUAAUCGUAGAAAUGGAUGAAACUUUUAAUAGAAAGACCAAUUUAUACAUUUUUGAGUAGACGAAACAAAAUGCAAUCAGAUCACUUCUAAUAUAAAGACCUUCAUGAUAUUUCACCGUUUUUUUCUCAAUAUUUCAACUUCUUGUUUCCCAUCCAUAUAUUGUAUUAUAAAGAAGGAGAGAUUUAUAUACUCUUAUGUUUCAUUUAUUUAAAAAAAAUUAUGGUCAUAUCAUAUUUUAAUUUUUUAAAGAAUAAAACAAGCAGAAGCAUAUCGUUGUCUUUGUUUUCCAGAUACUAAAUACGAUUAAAUUAGUUCAUUUAUUUGUGAAGUGGCAGAGAAAUAAUGUAACGUUGUAAUAAGAAAAUAUAAGAUGUAACUUUCAAAACUGAGUUUUAUAGAUUGUGCAAGAGCAGGACAAGAAAGAAAGACCCAUUUCUUACGUUAAUACAACACUAGAUCAAGUAGUAAAAUAAUAGCCAGCAAUUUAGACCAAACACAAUUAAGAUGAAUUCAUUUGAGGAACAGGACGGGACAGUAAGAAUGCUACUACUGAAUUUAUUAUCACUUGUUUUAUUAUUUCUCUUAGAUGUGUAAUCUUGAAAUUUAUUGAAAACUGUCAAUGGGAGGUCCAGAUAAAAUUUUAAAAUUUCUAUUCUAAAAGUGAUUAAAUUAUAUUAUUAAUUUUUAAAAAUGCCUAAAAUUACAAAAUUUUCCAUCUAUUUAAAUGAUUAAAAGGCUUAGAAUGAAAAUUUAAUAGUUGAGGGGAACUAUUAAUUAAAAUUUCCCAUUUGACCUCUAGCUAUCAUUACCUUUGUUGAUGCUGGGAUGCAUUUAUCCCUGUAUCGCUUUGCUUCAAUUUAAUUUUUGUUAAAUAUAUUUUUUUAAUAUUUUUAAUCUUUUUUUAAUGUAAGUAAAUGUUUAAAUAUAGUUCUUUAAAAAUAAACAUAAAAUUAAUGGGUCUUUCUGUAUUACAUUUUUACAUUUUUUUCCUUUUUAAUAAUUAUAUAUAUAAUGGUAAAAUGAUAAUUUCAUAUGAUAUGACGAGAGUAAACAAUUAUUAUAAUCAUUCUAUCUCCAUAGUUAAGAAAAAAUCGCUCUAUUUCACAUUCUCUUUUCAAAAAAUAGAGUGAAUUGAUUCAAAAUUCAUUAGACAAUUCAGUUUUGUCAUCCCUAGGGUUCAUUGUUGAACAUUAAUCUCUUUCAAUUUUUUAUUUUGUGGGUUUAUAGCAAUUAACUAAAAGCAAAUGAAAAAUAAGAUUUCAUUAUGAAUUUCAUCCUCUGAUUUACAAAAAUUGAGAAAUUAGUCCCUUUAUCUUAUUAGAUUUUGGUCCUCAUACUUUAUACAAUUUGAGAAGUUAGGUCACCUUAUGGUAAACAAGAGAACUUGAACUAUUGGUUUUUGGUAAUUUAUUGCAUAUAAGUUGUUCAACAAUUGAUUUUUACUAAUUCUUUGCAUAUAAAUUGUUAAACCUUUUGAUUUUUUUUUUUAGGUUUAUGAUUUAACAAAAAAAAAAAGUUCAAUAGUGCUACCCAAUUGGAUUGACUUCUCUGGUUUCGUAACGUAAGAGGAUCAAAUUUUAACAAAUUAAAAUAGAAAGGUUAAUUUCUCAAUUUUCACAAAGUAGAUAGACGGAAUUCAAAAUUAGACAAUGAAAUCUUUACAAAAAUUGAAAAGUUAAUCCUUCUAUUUUAAUUUAUUAGAAAUUAAUCUUUGUAUUUUAACUAAUUUCGCAACUUAAUCCAAUUGGAUAACAAUUAACAAUUUGAAUUUUUAUCUAUACCCAUUAUCAGAAAUUGCAUAUUCCGUUCAUGAAAUCUGCCUUAAAACUCAUUUACCUACAAAAGCAAAUAAAACAAAUAUUAAAUUGGACUAAUUUCUCUAUUAUCAUAAAGUAUGAGGAUUAAUUUAUGAAAAAUUAGGUUUAUAUUAUUAUUGUUUGGUAUAAGUGUGUAAUAUGCAGCCAAUAUAUAUUACAAGCUGACAAUGACAAUGUGGAAAAGCUUGCAUUUAAUAGAGAUAUUGUUUUAAAUUUAGGUUAAAACUUUAAUGAUAUAAUAUUUAUCUCAAUGUUUUUGUUUCUUUCCAAAUUUAAUAAUCCAAAAAAUUGAUUAGUAUUUUGUAUCCAUCAUCUUUAUCCCUAAAUUAACUUGAAUAAAAUAAGCUUUGCUUGACAUGGAUGGCUAGAGCUUAAUUUUUUUUAGAUUAAUUUAAUUGAUUCGUGUAAUUAUUUUUAAAAGUUUAUAUGUAAUAAAUUUAAAAUUUCACGAAUAAAAUUUUAUUUAUAUUAGUAAAGAUUUAGCCUCUGAAACUUUGAAUUUUCAUAUUUGAGCCUUAUCAUAUGUAAAUGUCAUAUAAAUUUUUUAUAAAUUAUUUUGAGUUUAAAUUUUAUUACGCGUGAAUCCUAUUUAAAUAUAUUAAAAUUUUUUAUUCAUUAUAUUUUAUUAAAUUAAUUCUUAGUUUUAAUUGAUGGGACCUAUUUAUAACAUAAUUAUACUUAUUUAUAAUUAUUACUUGAAUAAUUGACAUUGGUAUAGAUUUUAUUCUCAAAACUAGAUUCCUUGGGUCUGCCAUUUUGUCAGCCUUGUGUGUCUAUAUAUAUAUAAGAUUUAAUAUGCUUUAACUUGAUUAAUUUGAAUUUAAAUCUCAUUUAAUUAUAAAAAAUAAUAAUUUAAAUGUGCUCAAUUUGAAUUUAAAUUAAUUUGAAAAAAAUAGUUUAAAUUCGAAACAAUUUGAAUAAGUAAUUUUAAAAAAUUAGAACUUAAAGUAAUUAAGAAUCCAAAAUAUUUUAAAUUAAAUAAUAAAAAGUUCGAACCGACUUAAGCCUAAAAUAAAUAAAUGUAUAUAUAUGUUUCUAGACUUAUGGCUUUUACAUAAAACAUAAAUUUUCCAUAAAUAAAACAAUAUAAUUUUUUUUGUAAAAAUCAUGGAAAAUAAAAUCCAAAAAAGAAAAUAAAUUUCUAACUCUGCCUAUAUUAAAAUUUAUGCACAAAUUUACUUACAUGAAAAAUUUUCAAACAUUUAAAUGCUGUAUUAUUGCAUCCUUAGAUUGUUGUUGAUACCUCCUUUUUUCUUUAUUAACAAACCAUUGAACUGUUCUUCUUGCAAUCGGCAACCACAGCCGCCUUAUUCUCUCUUCCUUUGUGUAAUUUUCCGACAAGUAACCGCCGCCGCCUGUUCUGUUCCUCGACAAAGCAGUGAUUUCCGACAUUGAUCUUUUGUCACCUUGAUUAAUUGUAUGGCGGCUGGUACUUGCUUCAUAAUCAUUGCUUUUGUUUAAUGAACUCACUUUGUUCUCAAACAACCUCUUUAUCUCUAUCUCUUCUUUGAUCUUCAUGAUCCCGUCGUUUCCGAUCGGUUUCGUGGACCGACGGUUAUCAUCGUCAGUUCCUGGUAUUGAGAACCUGUUGCUGGACAUAUCGUUGAGCAUUUCGGCGUUUAAGAACAUAAGGUCCGAUGAACUUACACUACUCCAUCGGUUCUUCAUUACCACAUCGGAUACAAUGAUUUUGUGAUUUAACUUAUGAAAGAUUUCGGGUUCGGGUCUCGGAUCUUGCUCUCUUUGUAUGUAAAGUUCUAUGUUCGAGUCUUCAGUUAACUCGGAUUGAUUCCGUGAGAACCUCAUACUAUUUGUGUAUACAAACAUGGUCAAAUCCUCAGCGUUGACUUUUUGUCUACAAAGUGGACAACUUGAAUGUUUUUCAAGCCAUUGAUCAAUACAAUCAAUAUGGAAUCCAUGUUUGCAUUUAGGUAAUAACCUCAUGAUUUCGAUAUCAUCGAAUUUCGAUAAACAAACUGCGCAUUCGAGCCCCUGCUUCGAUCCUUUAAGCGACGAGAAACGGAAAAACGGGAGUGAUUCGAUGACUUUCCUGUCGAUCCCGGAAAAUUGAGACCUUGUCCGAUGGAGCAACCCGAAGUGAUAAUCGUCACCGUGAUGAACCGGUCUUCCUCUAUGACAUAACUUGGCAUAGAUUAGUAAGAAAAAUGUUAAGGCAAACAUGACACAAAGAAUACCUAUGACAACCGCAAGGCUCGGUCGGAAAUUCGAGACGGGAUCAUCACUUGGAUCGGGAGAUUGCGCAUCGACGAGGACGAUUGAGAUAGAAAUAACUAAACUAAUCAACACCGUUAAUUGAUUCAUCGGACAGUAUCUGUGCAUCUUAGAAUUUCCCCCCCAGAAUUCUAUUGCUUCACUGCAUGCAUUUUAGUUAGCAAAAGAUGACUUUUAAUAGUUCAUAUAGGGGUAGUUUGAUAUAUAUACAUAUAUUAUUAUAUAUCAUGAUGAUGAAAUUUAAAAGUAUUUUGUCUAUUUUAUGGUGCCACCUAACAAAUUAUUAAAUAAUUUUUUAAAAAAAGGUUGCUUUUGAAACUUUGAAAGAGUUUUUGCAUUUGACAUUUAGGAGAUAUUCCAUUCAGAAUGAUAAGAGGCCUGCCAUUUGUGUUCUAAAUUUUGUUUAAGACAAAACUGUUUACUUUUAUCUGUUUUUUUUAAUUAUAUUUUGAUGAUUGAAUUAUUCGAAAGUUUUUAUUUAAGUUACUAGAUUGUUUAAGUUUUUAUUUAAAGUCUGGCUAGCAAGCUUCAAGCGACGAUUCAAUUAUCGGUAUGGUGGAUUAGUACCCAUCAAUGAGUAGAAAAACAUACCUUAGAUCCAAGUUGAUCUGACGGUUAGUGUCGGAAAUCAAAGAAAAAAAUCAUUUAGAUUUUAGUUUGUAGACUCAUGAAAAAAAAUUGAACUAUAAAAGAAAAGGGGAAUGAGGGCUCUUAAUUGGUGCAGACGGUGUGAAUAGAAAAUGCCAUACAACAACGAUUUUAACCGUCCAUUAAUUUCAAUAAAAACUUUUGAAUAAUUCAAUUACUAUUUUGUAACUUUUUGAAAAGAGCAAAACAUAAAUUUAUUAAAAAUUUAGCGAGCAUUUUGUCCUUUAACAUAUAAAAACAAUUUUAUUUUUUCAGAAUUAAAAUGAAAUUUGUCCUUAAUUUGGUGGCUAAGGCAAUAUAAAAUAUCAAAGUCCUGUUAAAAGACUAGACUCGGGCAGGUCUAAUUGGUUUUAUAUCAGUUCAAUUUGAAUGGAGUAAAUUUUAGUUUUAAAAAUUUUGGUCUAAUUGGUCUAAUUAGUUUUAUAUCCUCUGAAUAUUUAAAAAUCUUAAUUAAAAUUUUUGAAAAUUUUUAUUAAUCUUUUUAAAAAUUUUAAAAGUUUUAAUUAACCCUCAAAAAAAUUUGAAAUUUUCCUUAAAGUUUUGAUUUGAAUUUAUCGAAUCAAUUUUUAAAAUUGAAUCAAAAUUAACGAGUCUAAAUUAUCUAAGAGUGGAAUUAAAAAGUCAAUGUUAACCAUUAAUACAAUAAUAAAGUCAAGGGGUUGCAUCUAGUCUAUCUUUACGUAUUAGGUUAGGUUGUUUUAGGUGAACUCAUCAACUGAUCUUCGCCGGCUAAAAUACUCACUAAUCCACCAUCGAACUUAUGAUAUAAUGAAAGAUGCAUAUAUACAUAUAUAAACUCGGUCAAAUGGGAUAAUUUAUUGGAAAGUCAUUGAAAUAAAUGAGCCUAGAUGGUAUCUUAAUGAUUAAUACAACUUGUGUUUAUCAAACGUUAUGAAUCUUUGGUUGUGUUUUAGAAGCAAUGUUAUGUUUAUCGAGUUCUUCAUUUUUUUUAAAGUAUUUGUAUCUGACACGAGUGUCAGAAUAAAUGAAUCUAGAAAAUUUUUAAAGGCCAAAAUUUAAUAUAAAAUUUUGUGAUGUCAAAAUAUAAUUUUAUCAUUUAUUAAUUUAUUAAUUUAUAAUUUCAUCAUUUUUAAGGGACUUAAUUUUUUCAUUCUUAGGAGCUAAAAUACAAUUUUACCAUAUAUUAAUUUAAAAUUUUAUUAUUUAGAAGGGACUAAAGAAAUAAUUUUCCAUUUUGAGAGCCAUCAAGGAUCCUAGAAAAAUCUAACCAUACCCUAUAUUAGAUAGAUACCCGUAUUUGAGUUUAAGUAACAUAAAUUAAAUGCGAAUUUGAAAAGAUGGGUUGGUAUAUAUAAAUAAAGGGAAGCAAAUGAUUGUUGAUACUUAAUUGGGAAAUCAAUAGAGUAAUGAACAUAGACUCAAUAAAUCAUGCAUUUCUUUAUGAAGGUGAACAUGGAGAGAACCCAAAGGAGAAACCCCAGAGUCAACUAUGAAAAACUUUGGUCUCCAUUAAAAACAUAUAUAUAUAUAAUGUUAUAUUAUAUAUGCAUGCAUGCACAUGUAUAUUAUAGGAGCAAUGCCAUUUUGGUUAUUAUUAAUGAUGGAAGCAUAUGUGUCCCUUGGAUUUGGAUAUAUUCAAUGUUUUUCUUAAAAAAAUUUCAUGUAUUUGGAAAUAUGUUAAAAGAUUACAUCUCAAUACUCAAUACCCAUGCUUGAAAACAAUCUUUUAAAACAUCAAAUUAUGUAUAUGUACCAAAGUGGCCGAGAUGAUUUUCUCGAGCAAAGAUUGUCAAAUGUGUAUUCAAGGCCAUGGCAAUGUAUGUUUUUGGCGUUGGGGACCGUUGCCAAAUCAUUCUCAAUGGUCAGAGUAGUGUACUUUUCGUUGACAUGCAAUUUUAUGAGAGUUAAAAUAUAAUUCAUCAUUAUAUUGACCUAUAUCUUUCUGAUUUUUAAAAGGAUUAAACUUAUAAAUUAAUAACGGAAAAUAUUUUUCUAACCGGUAUAAUUCAUUAAAUCAAUAAUUCAUCAAUAUUUUAUAUUAAUCGGUAUAAAACAAUUAAUAGAUGUGGAAUGUUUCUGUCUUAAAAGCUGAAAGCUUUGGUUAGUAAAUUUAAAGAUCAAAUUGAUAAAAUUUAUAAAUGUGAAGGGUUAAAUUUAUUAACUUAUUUAGAAUUAAAAUUAAAUUGAUAGAAUAUGUAAAUAUUGAAGACUACAUGUGUUACUAUUUUAACCACAUAUUUAUAAUAACAAAAAAAUCCCAUCAACUUCAUCUCUAUCAGAGUUGUCUGGAUGAAGUGACGAACACUUGAAACUAUAAAUUAGUUUUUUCCCCUUUAUUUUUUCUGAAAAGAUUUUGAUUGACAUUUAUUUAUUAAAUUUAAAAUUCUAAACCAAUUGUUAAAGCGUAUUUUGUUUUUUAAGGGUUAAAUUGACUAAACAUCUAAAAUUAUCAUUUAGAUUUUAAAUUGCUCCCUAAAUGUUAAAUGUUUUAAUUGAGUUCAAAAUAUCAACAUUAUAUUGAUAUGGUCUUUCGUUUCAACUUUGGCAUCAAGUUGUAAAUUAAUUGUUAAUUUAGAUUUGACAGUGAGUAUAUUUAAAAAUAUAGAGAUAAAAUUAUAAAUAUGUGUAUAUCUACUGUAUGGAUUGUUUAGAUCUAACAUGUUAAAAAAAUAGACAAUAUUAAUAAAAUUUAUGACAUUUAAUUUUUUUAACAUUCAGAUCCAAACUAUUCAUGUAAUAAACACAAAAUUUUAUCCAUUGUCAAAUUUAAAUUGUCAUCUAACAGCCCUCCCAAAGCCAAACUGAUAGAAGGACCUGAUUAAUACAAUACUGAUAUUUCAAGAACUCGAUUAAAACAAUUUGAAGUUCGAGAACCCAUGACCCAUUUAAAAUUUAAGAUAUAGUUUGAGGACAUCUUAUUGAAUUAACUCUUUUUUGAUUAAAAAAAAUUAUCAAUCUAAUUGCUUAUUUGGUCAAGAUUCUAAUUUAUAGGGUUGAAUCCUAGUUUCUAAAAAAAUAUAAUUUAUGAUCCAAUAAAAUAGCAUUGGCUUAAGCAAAAAUUAAGGAUGGGGUUAUCACAUAACACCUAAAAAAUUGCUUUAAAUUUUGUAAGUAGGUAUAAACGCAUCACAUCCAUUAUGAUAAAUACAACUUUUAAUCCACUUUUCAAUAAUUUCUUUUAUGAGACUUUCUGAUAAAAUUUUAAAACCUUAAUUUGUUUAGUAGUUUUCUAUGAUCAUAUAGUCUUUAGUUCUUUCCCAUCAUGGGUGCAUAUUUUUCAUCAACUAAAUGAUAAUCAAACAUUAGUAGUUUCUUCAUACAAAGCCUUGGGUUAAUUUCGUUGAACCCCCCAUUGUUUAUACAACACUUUUUUUGGGCUAGUUUUUUUUUUUUUUUUUUUGUGUGCGCGCGCGCAAAAAAAAGAAAGCGGGGGUAUUGAGAGAAAAAAAAUGGCUGGUGGGGGUUUUACUGAUGAUGGGAACUUAAAGAGAGCCCAUCUCUACGAAUACAACAUUACUAGUUAUUUUAUAUUUGCUUGCCUAGUUGCUGCCAUGGGUGGUUCCCUUUUUGGUUAUGAUCUUGGUGUUUCAGGUGAGUUUUGAAUUAGUGUUUUUGCUCUUGUUAGCUAUGUAGGACCAUUCCAUCAUAAAAUUACGUGAUUGAUCUUGGUUUCAUGUUUAAAUUGUUACUUAAAAAGGUUUUUUUUUAUUCAAUUAAGUACUUAAAUUUGGUCUCAAUAUUUAAUUUGAAACCUAAACUUGUCUUUUUUUUGUUCAAAUUGGUGCUUAAAUUUAGCUCCAUAGAUCAAAUUGGUUGAAAUAGCUAAGUACUAACUUAGAGCAAAAAGCCAAGUUUGAAUAAAAAAAAAUCCUUAGGUAACAAUUUGAAGGUAAAAGUACCAUAGAGGCCCUUAUAUUAGGAGUCAAAUUGUAUUUUUUCUUCUCUACUCAAAAAAUGGGCCAAUUAAUCCUUGAACAUUAGAUCAAAGAGCAAACUUAUCAUUUUGUAAAAAAUCCAUUCAUUUCUAUUGUUAAAAAUUGAUCCAUGUACGUUAGUAUGAGGUACACGUGUAGCUGUCUGAUUAUUUCGUUAACCAUGUCAGUUUUUAAUAGUAAAAAUGGAUGAAAUUUUUAAUAGAAAAGAUUAUAGUUUGCUCUUUGAUCUAUUAUAAAGGGACUAAUUAACCCAUGUUUUUGAGUAAAAAGGACAAAAUACAAUCUAACUUCUAGUGUAGGGGCUCCAUUGUAUUUUUACCGAAACUAAGUUCAAGUACCAAAAUAUAUAUUUAUCCUAAAAUUAUCUAUUACCCAUUUUGGCCAUUAGGUUCAAGCAUUACGAGAUGCUCUCACCUUGUGAAUUCCCCCAUAAAUCAUUUAAGCAUUACAAGAUGUUCUCACUCUGUGAGUUAUACCAUCAUUUUUCAUGAGACUUGUUUGCCAUAUGGAUUUGGUUGCAUGUAGGUGGGGUGACAUCCAUGGAUGAUUUCUUGAAGGAAUUUUUCCCAAAGAUAUACAGGAGGAAACAAGACAGCCUAACAGAGACAGAUUAUUGUAAAUAUGACAACCAGUUGCUCACAUUGUUCACAUCAUCACUGUACUUUGCUGGUCUCAUUUCAACAUUCGGGGCUUCCUAUGUGACAAGGAUCUAUGGUCGUAAAGGCAGCAUACUUGUAGGUGGUAUCAGCUUCUUCUUUGGUGGUGUCAUUAAUGCAGCUUCAGUGAACCUCCUAAUGCUAAUCAUAGGUCGCAUACUCCUUGGUGCAGGCAUUGGUUUCGGCAAUCAAGUGAGAAACCAUAGCUCCCUUCUAACAUGAAAAUAAGAUCCAUAACCAUAGUCUAUAGUUGGUAAAAGUACUAUGGAAGCUCUUGUACUAAAAAUUAGAUUGCAUUUUGCCUCUUUACUAAAAAAAAUGGGUAAAUUAGUUCUUGUAUAUUAGAUCAAAGAGCAAAUUAGUCAUUUCUGUUAAAAAUUUCAUCCAUUUUUACUAUUAAAAACUGACAUGGGCGAUAAAAUAACCAGAUAGUUACACUUCACGUUGAUGUGCAAGGACCAAUUUUUAAUAGUAGAAAUGGAUAGGAUUUUUAAUAGAAGGAUCAAUUUGCUCUUUGAUCUAAUAUACAUGUACUAAUUUGCCAUUUUUGAGUAGAGAGGGCAAAAUGCAAUCUGACUUCUAGUAUAAGGACCUCCAUGGUACUUUUACCUCUGUAGCUCAGUUUUUUGCUGUGUAAAAUAAUUUAUUUAAUUGAAACUGGAUGAAUCGACCUGACCUGACCAGUUCGACUAUCGGUCUGAUUCCAAAAACAUUGAUAAAAUGAUAUUAUUUUCCUCACUUAUCUAAACUUUUAUUAUUUAAACAUGUGAUUUCUUUUUACAUUUCAAUCCCUUAUAAUACUUUUUUUCAAGCUUUGCUUUUAGUAGUCUAAAAGCACUCUUUGAUAGAAAAAAAAGUAAAAAGUAUUUAGGAGGUCCUUGUAUUAUAAGGACUGGAUUAAAUUAGUUUCUAUAUUAUUAAAAAGAAUCAAAUAAGUCCAAAAUGGAAUAGAGUUAACAUUUACUAUCUAAAAGAUGUCUUGAAAAUAUAUAUUUUUCAAUUUUAGUUCAAUUUCAAACAAAAGAUUACAUUUAUAGAACUGUAAUUUUUUUAAAAAAUUUAAAUUUGUUAACCAGUAAAUGUUAAAUUUAUUCUAAUUUGACCUUAUUUGAUUCUUUUUAAUUGUACAAGAACUAAAUUGAUCCAUUUAAUUAUAGAAGAACUAAUUUGAUCAAAUCCUUAUAAUUGAGGGACCUUUUAGGUACAUUCACCCAAAAACAACUCUUUCAAGCAUUUACUCUCGAGGAAGAACUCAAGUUUAAACCUUAGAGACAACAAUGCUGGGAAGAGUAGCCACAAACCCAAGGAGAGCACCAAUUGAGACAGGGGUUCGAUAAAAUUUCUCUUUUAGUCCUUUAAAUUUAUGAAGUUAACAGUUAAUUAAAUGGUAGAAAUAUACUUUACCCUCUUCUCCCUCAUAAAUUUUUUUUAGCUUAGUCGGUACAUAAACCUAGAAAUAAUUUAUCUUUUAAGUACUGUAAACUGGAUAUGAAAGAUGCCUUAUCAUACCAAAAAAAAUUGCCACUCAAAACACUUUAAAAAAUGCUUGCUUUUAUUUUUUCGACUGUAACAACAAUACUAAACUAACUCUAAACUUUUUAUUUUUUUUACAAUUGCUAAACAAAUCCUACUAUUUUGUUUAUGUUAAUGAAAACAGGCAGUACCAUUAUACCUAUCAGAAAUCUCACCAGCAAAACACCGAGGAGCAAUAAACCAACUCUUCCAAUUAACAACCUGUCUAGGCAUCCUAAUAGCCAAUGCCAUUAACUACGCUACAGAACAACUCCAUCCAUGGGGAUGGAGAUUGUCAUUAGGUUUAGCCACAUUCCCAGCAACACUCAUGUUCUUAGGUGGCUUAAUCCUCCCAGAGACACCCAACAGCUUAGUCGAACAAGGCAAGCUUGAAGAAGCUAAAAAAGUGUUGAUCAAAGUGAGAGGAACACCCAAUAUCGAUGCCGAAUUUGCCGAUUUAGUUGAAGCUAGUGAUGCAGCUAGGGCUAUAAAACAUCCAUUUAGGAACCUUUUGUUAAAGAAGAAUCGUCCACAGUUAGUGAUUGGAGCUUUGGCUAUACCUGCUUUUCAACAACUUACGGGGAUGAACUCAAUUUUGUUUUAUGCACCGGUGUUUUUUCAGACGUUGGGGUUUGGUUCGUCGGCGGCAUUGUUUUCGUCGUUGAUAACUAGUGGUGCUUUGGUUAUUGCUGCUUCGAUUUCAAUGGGUUUAGUUGAUAAAUUUGGUCGUAGAGCUUUUUUUCUUGAAGCUGGAACUGAGAUGUUCAUUUGCAUGGUAAGUUCCUUUUUUAUUUUUUUUGGGUAAACUAACCCAAUGUCACUUAGUAAGUUUACACUUUAGCCGCUUAACUUUAAAAAUUUACAAAAUAGUCACUAAAUUAUUCGAAAGUUCUCAUUUAAACCACUAAACUGUUAAAAUCCUUGUUAUAUGGCCUUCUUUGUUCACAUCGUCUACACCAAUCGAAAGCUUUCAUUCCCCUUCCUUUUUACAAUUUAAUUUUUUUUUGUUAUAAAACAACUUUGAACGUCAGAAUUUACAUACCAAAAUCUAAACAACUUUCUUCUUCGAUUUCUGACACUGAUCAUCAAAUUGACCUGAAUCUAAAGUAUGUUCUUCUACUCAUCAAUGGGUACUAAUCCAAUGUAUCAAUCGUCAAAUUGUCACUUCAAACUUGCUAGAUGGACUUAAAAAAAAAAAACUUAGCAAUCUAGUUACUUGAAUACAAACUUUCAAAUAAUUCAUGAACUUAGUAACUUUCCCAUUUUAGUUCAUAAACUUAGAUUCCAUCCACAUUAGUCUCGGGGACCUUAACUUGGAUCUAGAGGUGCUCAUGGACCGGGCCGGGCCGGGCCGGGUUCGGGCCAGGCCCAUAAAAAUUUCAGCCCAGGUCCUAGGCCUGGGCCCGGCCCGAAAUAUGGGCCUAAAAUUUUGUCCAGGCCUGGCCCGGGAAAAAAUCAUAAGCCCGGCCCGACCCAUUUUUUUAAUAAAUAUCAAAAAUUUAUUUUAAAAAUUAAAAAAAGUAUUUUAAAAGUAUUUUAAAAUUAAAAAUAUUUUAAAAAUAUUUUAAAAUUAAAAAAUAAUAAAAAAAGUAUUUUAAAAAUAUUUUAAAAUUUAAAAAAAUUAAAAAUAAAUAUAUUUAUUAUAUCGGGCCAGGCCGGGCCGAGCCCGGGCCAAAAAAGUGGUGCCCGAGGCCCGGCCCGUUUUCUAAACGGGCCUCUUUUUUUUCCCAAGCCCAUAUUUCAGGCCUAUAUUUUUACCCAAACCCUCACAUAUUUCGGGCGGGCCAUCGGGCCGGGCCACCCGGCCCAUGAGCACCUCUACUUGGAUCCCAAGUUCAAAGAAUAAAAAGGUUGCUUUAUCCCAAUAUAUAUAAGUACUAAAUUUCAAAUCAAAUAUAGUACAUUGGAUUAAAACCAAAAUUUGGCCAGUAAUUUGCUAUCAUCCUUCUUAAUGUAUAAGAUAAAUUAAACUAAAUUAUUAGUAAGUCUACGUUUUGGUCAUUCAAACUCUAAAAAGUUACAAAAUAGUCAUUAAACUAUUCAAAAAAAAUUAUUUAUGUCAUUGGUCCAUUAAGUUUUUUUUUAAAAAGUCCAACUAGCGAGCUCCAAGCUACAAUUUGACAAUCGGUACAGUAUACCAGUACCCAUUGGCGAGUAGAAAAACAUACCUUAAAUCCAAGUCACUUUGACGGUCAAUGUCGGAGAUCGGAGAAGAAAGCUAUUUGAAUUUUGGUUCGUCAAUUCGUGAUAUUCAAAACAGUUUCAUUAAAAAACUGAACUGCGCAGAUGAAAAGGAGAAAAAGAGUUUUUUCGACUGGUGUAGAUUGUGCGAAUGAAGAAAGCCAUACAUCAUUGAUUUUAAUAAUCUGGUAACUUAAAUGAAAAUUUUCGAAUAGUUUAGUAACUAAUACAUAAACUUAUUAAUAGUUUAGUGACAUUGAGUGUAGUUUACCCUAAUGUAUGUCCGAUGAUAAAAAUAUAUAUAUCCAGGGCCGAAGACAGAAGGGGGCUUGUAGUUGCCUUGGCCCCCCAAAAUGAUAGAUUUAUCAUUUAAUCCCUUAAAUUUUUAUGAAAUUACAUAUUAGUAUUCUGACAAAAUUAUAUUUUGGUCCCCAAUAAUUUAUGAUUCAUCUCUAGCUAUCCUUAAAACAAUUUUUUGGGUUCGUCCCUGUACAUAUCCAGAUUGCAGUGGCCAUAACACUAGCUCUCAAAUUCGGAGAAGGUGAACCCUUACCGGUCGGCGUCGGUUGGUUUCUCGUCUGUGUCCUUUUCUUAUUCGUAUUAGCAUACGGCCGAUCAUGGGGUCCAUUAGGUUGGCUAGUACCGAGUGAGAUUUUCCCAUUAGAAACAAGAUCAGCAGGUCAAAGCAUGGUGGUGUGUACGAACCUCCUCUUCACAGCAUUAAUAGCACAAUGCUUCUUGGUUUCUCUUUGCCAUUUAAAAUAUGGGAUCUUCUUGUUGUUUGCUGGCUUAAUUUUCGUAAUGACUGCCUUCAUUUACUUUUUAUUGCCUGAAACUAAACAAGUUCCCAUUGAAGAAGUUUAUUUGUUGUGGAAAGAUCAUUGGUUUUGGAAAAGGUAUGUUGAAGAUCAUGAUCGGUAUGGGUCGGACAGGCCAUGAAGAAAAGCAAAAAUUGUAUGGGUUAAAAAGGGAAAAAAAGUGUAAAACGGCGUCGUCUCCUGUUCUUUGAUUUUUUUCAAAGAUGAUGAUUUUUUAGUUAAUUAUUUGGUCUAAUUUGUUUAGAGUUUUCAUGUAAUUGCAAAUGGAAAAUGAUGAAAUAGAAAUUACUUAGAUUUGGUAUGUGGUAGUGAUGGUUAAAAGUUGUACGUUUUGGUAUUUGAAAUUUAUGGUGAUAAUUUUUUAGAAUUUAAUUUAAGUGUUUAUAGUUGAUUUGAUAAAAAUUUAUAAUUAAUUAAUAAUAUUAGCAAUUAACUUUCAUUAAAUUAACUCUUAAAGAUAAAAAAAUAUCACAGUCGUCAUAUUGUAAUUAACAAAUUAAAUACAAAAUUAGAUAAAUUCACAAUUAACACUAAAUUUAUUCUAUUUAUAACAAAAUAAUGAGACUUCAAACUUAAUAAUAUUAACAACUAAUUUUCAUCAAAUCAACCCUAAAAUCUGAAUUAAACACUAAAAAUUCAACAUUGUUAUUUUUAGAUUCCAAAAUAUAUAACUUUCACCAAAUAAACUCAUUUAGUUGUUGUGGAAAGAUCAAUGGUUUUGAAAAAGGAAUGUUGACGAUGAUGAUUGGUAUGAAUUCGAGAAACCAUGAAAAGAGAAAACAAAAGUGUAGGAGUUAAAAUGAAAAAAGAAGAAGAAGAAGAAGAAGAGGAACUGUGUCGUUUUUUUAUUUUUUAAUUAUCCAACUAUGAACAUUUGUAAAAUGGUCACUUAAUUAUUAAUAUAUUUUUUUAAUCACCCAAUUAUCAAAAAUUACAAAAUAAUCACUUAACUAUUCAAUUAUAUUUUUUUGUCAUUUAAUUUUCUUAGAUUUUUAAAUAUUUCUAUUUUUUAUGUUAAUAAAUUGAUGACCAAUACAGGCAAAAUUGAAUUAAAUUUCCAUCCCAUGGUACUUGAUGUUUGUCCAUUUACAGCUCUUGCCAAGAAACUUACCUCCAAAACCUCCAACCUCCAAGGAUCUUUGUGGGCGAUGAUGUGAGCUCUAAGGGGGGUUAGCAUCAAAGGAGUUAAGGAUGCAUGGGUAAAGCUCAUUUAUCAUUUUUAUGGCUCCAUUAAAUUUCUUGAAAAUAAGCUGAUGUCUUAUAUUUUCUGAUAAUGUAUAGGGUGUAAGUGAAGAAUGUGUAAAAAUUUGUUAUCCCUUAGCAUUUGAGAUUAUUCGUCUGGAGCUAUUGAAAAAAUAAAGAUAAGAUAAAAGUAAGCAGAAAUAAAUUUAUUCGAAGAGAGAAGAGGGAAUCGAACCACACCGCUCUAGCAAAUUCAUAAUGCAUGAAAAGGUGUUCUAAGGACUUGGAGCUAUUCUAGCAAAUUGGACAGCAAUUAUUUGUUUUGAUGUUCCGUUGUUGGAGAGUAUCCUUCAUUGGGAGAUCGUAUUGGAAAAUAAUCACUUUAAAGGGGAAUUUUAAUCUCCAAAACUUGUUCCCUACUUUAUUGUUAAGAGUCAUGAAGAGAGUGGCUUUGAUAUUGAGAGCAUCAAAGAUGUGUAUAGGCAUUUUUUACAUAGAAAACGCCAUUAUGAUUGUUUCGCCAAACAAUUCCAUCACUACCACCUUGGAAGGAUAUUGGUCUAUUAAGGAGAUCAUUAACAUGCUAAUUAAAAAUCAUUGAGUUAGAGAAUAGUGAUUAAGUUCAUACCUUAUAUAUAGUAUAAUACUAAUGGCAAAAUUAGAUCAAGUCAACUGUAAGCGCCAAACCAUGCAAGUUUUUUUUUUUUAAGUUACUACAAAAACAUAUUAAGGAUAAAUUAUAUUUAAUAUCACUAAACUAUUAAUAAAUAUAGUAAAACUACAAAUAAGAACAUAUAUUUUUUUAAUAAUAAUAAAAGGAAACCCACCAUUUUUGGUUUUCUUUUUGGUCUUUUUGAAGAAUUUAUUGGUUAAUAAUAUUAAAUUCUUGCAGGUCGGGAGCCAAAUAAACGAGCUUUUAUUUUUCUGUUAAAUUCUUCUAUUAGUCCCUAUACUUUAAAAAAGUUAUGAAUUUAGUCUUUAUACUUUAAUUGGAUCAAUUUUAGUCCCUAUACUUUUUUAUUUUUGAAAUUCUAAUACUGACCCAAAGAGUAAGAGUUAAAUCUGCCUGGUUAAAUCUAAUUGCUAGUCAUGUACUAGCGUAUAGCUAUAGAUUUAAUUUAUAUUCUCCAAUUAGAUUAUUUUAAGACACUAUAUAUUUUUUUAAUUUUAAAAUUUUAGUCUUACCACAAAUGACAAGCGUCAAUCCAUUAACUACAUUUUUAGAGAGUAAUAUGUGAAAAUAAUAAACUGACAUUACACAUAUAAUAAUAUGUUUACCGCGUCAAAUUUUAGAAAUAAAUAUAAAUUAACUUAAUGUAUUUAACAGUUAUCAUUUGAUGAUGACUGAAGUUUUAAAAUUUGAAAAGUAGAGUGACUAAAAAAAACCAAAUUAUAGAGACUAAAUCCAAAACUUUCAUAAAUUACAGGGACUAAUAACAGAAUUUAACCUUUUUCAUUUCUGGAUAAUUGAUUUCACUUUACUAUUCUCGUGAAUAUUAAAUUUGCUGUGUUUUUUCUUUCCUCUCUUCCAUCAGUCAAACCUCACACAUAUUUUUUUGCCACCGACAAGACUCCGAGGAUCUUGAGGUUUGGCAAGAAAAUCCCUUUUUUUCCCUAAAUUUCGUGUCUUUUUUUUUCUUGUUAAUUAACGAAUUGAUGCUUAUAUUUUCAACUGUAAAAUGAAUCAAAUUUGCUGUGUAUAAACCAUUUCUGGGUUUUUACUUAUUUUGAUUAUGGAAUUACUCAAUGGGUUCAAAAACCCAUUUCGUAGUGAAUAUAAAAGAUGGGUUUUUUUAGUUGGAUUAGUAGCUAUAAGUCAUUUAUUGUUUCAGUCCUUUUUGCUUCCAUAUGGUAAUGCUCUUAGAUCUUUAUUAUUGCCUGGUAUUGAUGAUUCAAUUGAGGGUAAUUAUGGAAAUGUUGUUUCUCGGGUUCGAUCGGGUUCAAAAUCGGUUGUAGUUCGUAAUACUCUUACUAUUAAUGGUUCUGAUUUUAGUACUAGGGAUGUUAUUUUGUUUAAUGGUGGUAAUGGCGGUGGAGAUGUUGGAAUCAGUAGUCGAAAAAUCGGGGAUUGGGUGGAAAAGGGUGUGAGUAAAGUCAUUUUCGAUGGAAAUGUUGACGAUGAUUACGCGUCCGAGAAUGGUGAGGAUUUAAACGAGAAUGCUGUGUUGGAAGAGGUCAUUCGAGAUCAAGAUAAUUAUGUAAAUGCUACAUCGCGUAUAGAGCAGGUCGCGAAACAUGGGCGGGAAGUGUCUACCGGUGAACUUCGGGAUGUAAAUACUACUUCUCAGUAUCCAGCAUUGUCUUCGAUGGCAAACCCGACCCCGAAUGCUGGCUCUUCUUUCCGUUCCACGUCCCUGCAAAGUGAUCAUACAGUAUCUAAGAGUAAUUCUUUGAUGGUUGUUAAACAGGGGAAGAAAAAGAUGAGAUGUGAAAUGCCACCAAAAACAGUAACUACGAUAGAUGAGAUGAACCGUAUAUUACUACGGCAUCGUAGGUCGUCACGUGCAAUGGUAAUCUGUAAUACUAUACUUAUUUGCUUUAUAUACCUAACGUAAAUUAAACUCAUUUUAUUGUGUUAUUGUAGAGACCACGUCGUUCUUCUAUACGUGACCAAGAAAUCUUUGCCGCAAAAUCUCGGAUUGAGAAUGGUCCUGUCAUAACAAACGAUCAAGAUCUUUAUGCUCCCAUUUUUAGGAAUGUUUCAUUGUUUAAAAGGUAAGUUCAAGAACAUCCAUUUGUCUAUGAACUGUUGACCUUAUUCUCAAAUGAUGGUUUGUACGCUGUAGGAGCUACGAACUUAUGGAACGAAUACUCAAAGUUUACGUCUAUAAAGAUGGGAAAAAACCCAUUUUUCAUUUACCAAUACUUAAGGGAUUAUAUGCGUCGGAGGGAUGGUUUAUGAAAUUGAUGCAAGGGAAUAAGCAUUUCGUUGUGAAGGAUCCACGUAGGGCGCAUUUGUUUUAUAUGCCGUUUAGUUCUCGAAUGUUGGAGUACACGCUUUAUGUUCGGAAUUCUCAUAACCGGACUAACUUACGCCAGUUUUUGAAGGAUUACACGGAAACUAUAUCGGCAAAGUAUCCUUACUUUAAUCGAACCGAUGGAGCAGAUCAUUUCCUCGUUUCUUGCCAUGAUUGGGUAUGUUCUUUGAUUCAAGCACUGUUGUAUUUUUUCGGGUUUGUAAUUGGAAUAUAAUUACUGAAUUUUUAUAGGCUCCAUACGAAACGAGGCACCAUAUGGAACACUGCAUCAAAGCACUUUGCAAUGCGGACGUCACUGCGGGUUUCAAAAUCGGGAGGGAUGUUUCUCUUCCGGAAACAUAUGUCCGGUCGGCAAGGAAUCCUCUUAGAGAUCUCGGAGGAAAACCGGCUUCUCAGAGACAUAUACUUGCUUUCUAUGCCGGAAGCAUGCACGGGUAUCUCCGUCCGAUCUUACUAAAACAUUGGAAAGACAAAGACGCCGAUAUGAGGAUCCUCGGUCCGAUGCCUCCUGGUGUUGCGAGUAAAAUGAAUUAUAUCCAACACAUGAAGAGCACUAAGUACUGUAUAUGUCCCAAAGGUUACGAGGUUAACAGUCCACGAGUAGUUGAAUCCAUCUUUUAUGAAUGCGUCCCCGUUAUCAUCUCCGACAAUUUCGUGCCACCAUUUUUCGAAGUUCUCGAUUGGGGAGCUUUCUCGAUAAUACUUGCGGAGAAAGACAUCCCUAACUUGAAAGACAUACUUACGUCAAUACCGCAAGAGAGGUAUCUCGCGUUGCAACUCGGUGUUCGAAAGGUUCAACGGCAUUUCCUAUGGCACGCGAAACCUGAGAGGUACGAUCUCUUCCAUAUGACACUUCAUUCCAUUUGGUAUAACAGAGUCUACCAGAUAAAACUUAGGUAGUAGUAACAUUAAUGGUCAUUCCAAAUGUGAAUAUACUUUUUUUAUCCGUUUUAUGGUCCAUGUUCGGGUUGCGUAGUUUUCACGUCUUUGGGGCUUUUUUUUGGAUUUGUAUAUAUAUAAACUAAUGAUAUUUUUCAGUGAUUCUUAUAUUUGGUUUGUAAUUUUGUUUUAAUCUUGAGAGUUAGUUUUGUUUGCCUACUCAAUUAAUCGAUUUAAUUGACCAAAUCGGUCGAUGUUAAGUUGGUUUGGUUGAAUCGAUUAAUGCUUAUGCAUGUGGUUAGUUACAGUUGAAAGUUAAGUGGUUAAGUCCGGUUAUGCAUGAAAUAUCAGCCGAACUGUCUGAUUUAAACCAAUUGCUCACACUUAUCGAUCCUAUUUCGUCCAUUAAAAAUAUAUAUAUCUAUAAUUAUUAAUAAGUGGUUGGAUGUAAUAGCAAGACACAUUACACUCCCAAGAGGAGGACAUAGAUUCGAAUCUUGGGAUGACAUUGUUGAGAGGUAGACCGUAAAACAGACAUGAAUAAUACAAAAUAUAUAUAUCAAUAAGCGAAGGUAAAAGUACUAUAAAAGUCAUUGUGUUAAGAGUUAAAUUGCAUUUUGCCUAGCACGGUUGGCACAAGUUUUUUAGGUGGGGGAUAAUUUUGGUUUUAACGUGGGUCAAGUAUUUUUUAUUUUGUCACUCAAGUUGGAUUUCGAAAGUAGGAAAGGACUAAAUUGAGUGAAGGUCGACUGGAUGGCCCAUUUGCCAACCAAACAAAAUAGCUUCAGUUUUCUUGCACGGAACUGAACUGAAUCCAGACCACUUGGAAAAAAACAAUGAUUAAUGUAAGAAACAAGCGUGAAAGACUUCUUUUCAGCUUUUCUGCUUUGUUUUUUGAGAGGGAAAAUUCUAAACGAAGUUUUUAUCCGCUUCGAUGUUAUAUAAAAUAUUAUAAUAAUUAUAAUAAUAUUUUUUAACUAAUUAUUGUUUGACAAUUUUAGCUUAUUUAAAAACAUCAUAAUCGUAAUAAUUUAUAUAUUUUUAAAAUUUUCAUUUUCCAUGGAGGAACUGUUAAAUGGCAUUUGUCCACCAAGCUUAGCUAAGAGUUUGUUCCCAUCAUGUCACGUGUCUGUCCCUAAACAGAACACCCCAAUGACAAAUCUCUCCACACGUGUUGUCCCUCCAAUGCCAGUUUUUACAGUUAUGUCGGUUAAUUUUAAGUAAUUUUCUUUUACCUAUUUAAAUCUAAGGGCCUAAUGCUGCUUUUACUCCUUAUAUUGUGUUAAAAGUUAUAAUUUAAUCCCUUUUACUUUAAUUUUUAUAUAAUUUAAUCUUCUAUUUUUAUAUUGCCAAUUAAAAGUAUUAUCUAUUUAGACUUACUAAUAAAAUUACAAAAAUUAUUUUUAUAAAUAAACAAUCAAGUUAUGUACUAUUAAUUAAUGAUAUUGUUAACAAAUUUAUGAAAAUCAACCUCAUCACUUUAAAAUAAAGGAUUAAAUUCCAAAUUUGCAGAAUAAUAGAAGGACUAAAACUAAAAUUAAACCAAAUUUUAAGUGUUCCUAAUUUUUCGACAGACAAGCAUGUCUAGUGUCUACGUAGCCGUUGUCAUAAUAAUUUCCUCUCCCUUUUAAUUUUUUUUCAUUCAAAGCAAUGGAAAUAUCAUCAGAAAAAUGUAAUCAAAAUUGGGUAUUUUAUAAUUAGGGUAAGACCAAAAAAAUACAAUGAAAAAACAAAAAGUAGAUAACGCUAUUAUCUUCAUUCAGCUGACGAAGCCAUACAUACACUUUAUUUCUUCUUUUUUUACGAAAAGAAAGGAAAAAAAUUUCUCAGUGAACAGAACACUUUUGCAGUGCUCUUUGCUUGAGAAUUGGGUAAUCUAAAUUUCUAUCCUUCUUUUUAUAAAUUUAGGUUUUGAAAGCUUUCAUUUUUUAAAACAAAUUCUGGGUUUUUCCUUCUUCAGUGGUUAGUUUAUCUCUUUAAUGUCUUUUAUUUUCUAUCUUCGGUUUGGUUACUGAGAAAAUGUGUCAUUCUUUUGUUUUUAAAUUGGAUUUUAUGUUUGGAUCAGGCAGUGGUUGAAAAGAAUUUAAUGGGAGAUUUACACAACAAUGGAGGAUUUGCUGAAAACCAGUUAUCUGUAAGUAUUGGUUCAGACCAUUCUGAUUUGUUUCUGUCUUAAUUACAUCAUAUUGUGUUUCUUUCAUUGCAUUAUUUAAACCCGAACCCGAAAAAAUCCGAUUCUGAUAACUUGAUUUAAUCUUAUUUGAUCAUAAAAAUACAUUGACUUGAGAAAUACUGAAUGCCAAAUGACCCGAACUUGAAAUGAUUCGGAAAUCUUAAAACCGAAUUGACCCGAUCCGAUUCUUGUUAUCAGGUCCAUCAUGGUAGUCUUCUGGAUUUUCUCUUAUUUUCCUCACCAAUGGAUGAUAUUUUCACAUGUAUUCUAUCUUGGACAUCUUAUUUACGUCGCCGAUUCAUCGAUUUUGUUGGUGAGUUCUUCGGUUUUUGGUGCGUGCGUACGUAGGUAUGCAUGUAUGAUGUAUGUAUGUGUGUUUAGACAUUAAUAUGUGUCUGCAGAGAAUCUUGUCGUCCAAGAUGUUUACAGAAGCAAAGGUUCUGUUUCUGUGUCUUCGACAUCUUACACGGAAUAUUUUAACUCCGGAACUUGCCAAACUUCGUCGGGCCAGGGGAAAGAAUUUCUCGCAAAUACAGACUCCGGAAUCGUAAAUACCAAUCGCUCUAUGCAACUAAGACAAGCGGUUCCUUUCAUCUUUCAAGGGUAAUGUAUCGAUACAAUGGUUGAUUUUCAAGUUUCAAUAGCUGUACCUUGAAUGUAUUCUGCUAAUAGAGCUAUGAUGGUAAUGUUUCAUAGCAAUGCGUUUGUAUUCCGUUUUUGUUUUUAUCAUUUACCCUAUUUGCAGUUGCUUCUACCGGGUUGUAGGUUGGCAUUCCCGUUUUUAGCUUUGCGGCUUGCUUGGAGUUCGAUCUUGGUGCCGUGGAGGUUCGCUUUCUGCUAUGUGAAACGCACUCAAGCACAAGUCUAUAGGUAAAAAAAGUAGUGUCUUCGAUUUUCUUUUUUCGUGUAAUCGAAUUUAUACUUCAAUAUCUGAAAAUGUAGAACCAGAAGAAAAAGUCUGAAAUCAGCCGGCAAUUGUUUCGGUUUAGGCCAUAGUUCCAAAACAAAACUCUGUUUAUAGGCUUACAAGGAACAUUGGAACAAAAUCGAGCUGCAAUCCCUAAACUCCUCUUCGGGUCAUGGGAAACACAUUGUGGGACCUAAUUCAGCUUCCCGGGGCUAAACCAAAAAGUACUCAAUCCCAGUCCCAUUGCUAUAGAAUACGAUCUUCCUCCUACCCCAACCGCAAAGUCUCAAUCUUUAACUUGACUGAAACUGUUUUGCCUUUAGUAUUUUCUACGUACUUGUCCUCGUACUUUGCUAUGUUUGCUUCUUCAUAAUGAACAUUACCGAUUUUUUAUUUUCAGCAUUAUAUCACGGAUGGAGAGAACGUUACGCGGUUCAUCCGAUGAUAUCGGAUGGUUACAACGCACCCCUGGAAUGGCUCCUGUUGAGGACGGUACAGCAAGAUUCCUUGAACUGCUAGAAGCUAUAAGGUACCGAAUUAAUUCAACUUUUUUUUCUUGAUCUUCUCGAAUAAUAAGAGAUUAUUCCUUGCUAGUUGAACUGAGAUUUUCACGUUUAGGAACGGAGAACACACGUUGCCAAAUUCAUUUGUAUAUCUAUUUGUUCCAGGUAUGAGAAUAUCACGGUAUCCCUUAGUUUCUCGUUUAUCGAUUUCGGAUUCACAAUAGAUUUCUAAUUCUUUGUCAGGCCUUUUUAGCAAUCAUGGUCCCUUAUAUUUUGUUGCCACUAAGAAAUUCUUUUCGAAAAUGGGUCUCACAUGCCAUAUAGGGAAAAUCCACAGCGAGGUAAUUACGAGUUGCUUAUCAUAAGAAAACUAUUGUUUUUGUGUUAUUGAGUUUGAGUUUUUAUUGCUUUGUCAUACAAAGGCAUCGGUGGAACAUAACGCGUGGGAGUUGAAGCAAUACAUUGAGGAGCUUUAUUGGGGGUCGGGUAAACGUGUAAUGCUGCUCGGUCAUAGCAAAGGUGGAGUUGAUUCGGCCGCAGCGUUAUCAAUUUAUUGGUCCGAGCUAGAGCAUAAAGUUGCUGGGUUGGCGCUGGUCCAGAGUCCGUAUGGUGGUAGCCCUAUAGCUUCUGAUACUCUUCGUGAAGGCCAAAUAGCUGAUAAAGAAACUCGAAGGAUCUUCGAGCUUUUGAUAUGCAAGACGAUUAAGGUACUUUCCUUUCCUUUUCCGAUAAAUAAAUUCCCGAGGUUUUCGAGUCUAACAUUGUAAUCAAGGGCGUAGAUAAGGGCAGGGGCUAAAAGUUAAAAUUUUAAAUGCAAUUUCACCAUAAACUAAUUUAUAUAAUUUUUACCAUAGCAAAGAUGCAAUUUACAAUUAAAUGAAAAAAAUCAAAGGUUUAUCAUUUUUUGGGGGCCAAAGUGCAAUUUUAUCAUAUACUAAUUUAAAAUUUUAUAAAUUGUAAAGGAGCUAAAAGUUAAAUUUUCCAUUUUAGGGGACCAGGCCCCGCCCCCCUAUCCAGGGGCAGGGGCAGGCAGUGGCCUUAGCUCCCAAAAAUGGUAAAUAUGCCUUUUAGUCCCUUUGAAGUUUAUGAAAUUACAAAUUAGUAUAAUGGCAAAAUUAUAUUUUGGCCUCCAAAAAUUUAUGAUUCCAUCUCUAGCUUCCCAAAAGCAAUUUUCUGGUUUCUCCCCUGCUUAUAAUUCGAAUAUCUAUGUUGCAGGGUGACAUGCGAGCAUUGGAAGAUCUUACUUACGAAAAGAGAAGAGUUCAUCAUGAAGCAUAAGUUACCCGAGGGAGUCCCUCUUAUCUCGUUUAGCUCGGAAGCAAAAGUGGCUCCCGGUGUACUAGCUACCAUGACACAAAUAGCUCAUGCUGAGCUUCCCCGGCUUCCCUUUCUAAAGUUCAGGAAUUCGGAGUUCGACGGUGUCAGUCAACUUGGACACCAAGUGCCUAUCGUAAUUCCGGUUUCCGCUGCCAUGGCCUUAUGUGCUCUUCACUUGCUGCUUAGAUACGGGGAGAAGAGUGAUGGACUCGUGACGUGCCGUGAUGCCGAAGUUCCGGGUUCGGUCAUAGUGAGGCCCGAGCAGAAGCUCGACCACGCUUGGAUGGUGUACUCUUCGAAGAAGAAAAAUCCAAACGAGCCAGACGCUACGGAAAUGUGUGAGGCUAUUUUGACCUUACUAGUAGAGCUUGGGAAAAGGAAGCAAGAAGAAAUAGAGAAGUCUUAAAAAGUAAUUUCAUUACAAACUUUGUUAAAUUUGUUGGGAUUUAAUUAACUUAAUGAACAUAUUUGAAUCCUCAAAUUGCAAAAUUUUAUUUAAUUUUCGUAUUUUAAUUUGACAUAAUUCGUUUUCUUUAUUUUUGUAAUGUCCCUUCUAACAUAAAAAUAUCUUUUAUCCAAGUAGAAUGAUCAAAUUAUGUCGAUUUAAUUAUCAUUCAGUUUAUUUUUACUUUUAAUUUUAGAAAUCUAAUUUCUCUGCUCUUUUAGGUUAAUAAUUAAAUUUCAAUUAAUAAUAUCGUAAAAAGGAUUAUGUUAAAUUGGAGAUAAUUCAAUUUAAAGGAAUUUUUUUAGUGUUAUCAAUUGUUACUUCAAUUUUGUAUUAAAAAGGGCAAAUAAUCAAAAAAGGCCGGUUUUUUUCAAAAUUUACCGAAAUGGGCCGGUUUUUUAAUUAUUUAUCGGAAUGGGCCAUUUUCCGCGAAAUCGCGUCCACGUCAGCGCGAUGUCAGGGUACGCGCAGGAAAUCGCGUCCACAUCAGCGCGAUUUGAUGACGUGGAAGGAAAUCGCUCCCUCUAGGACGCGAUUUGCUGACGUGGCAUGAACAGUGUGUUUUUAGCUUGGAAAACUUUGAAAGGCCAUAACUUUUGGCUCGGUUGUCCGAUUGAGACGAAUUUUUUUUUGAUUUCGAAUAAAUUUUCGAGAUCUACGCGCUGGCAAACAGCCGAAGGCGGUUUGAUGAAGUUUUCAUCGAAAAAGAUCCUUUUUUGCCCCUAAAUUUUGAUUUUUUCGGUUUCAUUAAAAUUGAAUUUUGAAACAUUCAAAUCGUUAUUUUCCUCAUUUAUUUGAAGUAAACACCGGAUCUUUUUUUACAGAAUUGUCUUAUAUCAUCCUGUUAUAGGUAUAAGUCAGCUCAUUCCACUUUUGAGAAGUUCCCUAAAAUUUUCCAUUUUAUUCAAUUUAGUCCCUAAAACCUAAAUAGUCAUAUUUUCAAAUCUAAGCUUCGUUUUUCAAUUGAAAUUCAACUUCAUCCUUCCAUAACAUUCAAAUAUUCUUAAAUACAAAAAUUUCGUGCUAAUUUUGAAAUAAUUACACUUUAGUCCCUAUACUCGUAACUAACAAAUUAUACUUUACAAAUUAGUACCUAUUCAUCUCUAAGCAGUUUUCCAGCACGUAGAUCUCGAAAAGUUAUUCGAAAUCAAAAAAAAAUUUGUCUCAAUCGGACAACCGAGCCAAAAGUUAUGGCCUUUCAAAGUUUUCCAAGCUAAAAACACUAUGUUCAUGCCACGUCAGCAAAUCGCGUCCUAGAGGGCGCGAUUUCCUUCCACGUCAGCAAAUCGUGCUGACGUGGAUGCGAUUUCCUGCGCGUACCCUGACAUCGCGCUGACGUGGACGCGAUUUCGCGGAAAAUGGCCCAUUCCGGUAAAUAAUUAAAAAAUCGGCCCAUUUCGGUAAAUUUUAAAAAAAACGGCCUUUUUUGGUUAUUUGCCCUAUUAAAAAAUAGGAUUGAAUUGCCGGGACUAAAAGUGGAGGAAUUAAACUUUAAAUAUACAAAUAUUAAAGGGAUUGGGAGUACAAUCAGACCAAUUAUGCCAAAUUAAAGUACAAUAUGACUAUUUCAAAUCAGAUCAUAGUCGAGGUGCCAAAAAUCAGAAUUUGACCUAAAUCAAAUCUAGAGUAUUGCUGACAAACUUGCUUCAACGAAAAUAGUACUAUUUACCAUGGGCCACAAAAAAGGGGGCAGGCAGGGCUUG